AGACCAUGUUUUUGUUAUAAUGUUAAGGCCAUGUAAGCCUUGAUUGCAAUAACAUGUGAACUUUUCUCGUGCUGCAUCAACUGAUCUAUGAUCCAUUUAUUCUGGGGUGAAAAUCUGUCACAAGUUACAAUGGGCAAACCAAAUAAUUGUUAUUCUCUGCUUUUUGGACAGAUCCAGGUGUUCUUAUACUUAAUUAUAUGCAUUUAUUGACCUUGUGGAGGAUGAUAGUAUUCUGUGAUUCACAUUCAUGAUGAGCAAGUGAAACAUGAUGUGUGAUGUGUAAUGUUGGAUGCUUCAAUUUAUUAUACCUUUUAUUUUGAUAUUUACCUAUAAUAUGUUUAGGAAAAUAUGAAUUUUGCCUCUAUCUUGUAAUAGAUAUGAGUUCAGAAGCAAUCAUGAGGAAUGGAUUAACACAGAAAAGCCAAUUCUUGAACCUGAUUUCUCAGCACAGAUGAAUGAAAUAAUGAAGAUAUCAGAGGCAGAGAUUGAACUCUGCAAGUCAAUUAGAGAAGAAAUGCGUUUGGCUAUCAACUCUCUAUUGAAGGUAUUCUUUCUUAAAAUGGUACACUUUGAAUUUAAAUAUUAAGUCAGCAAUAGUGUUUAUAAACCAAAAUAUCCUUUGCUGAAAAUUAAAUGACAUGUUUUUGUUAAUCACAAACUGACAUUGACUUAGAGGCUGUUUGGGAGUGCGGUUGGACCACACUUUUCCAAAUUUUUGAUUUUUUUUGUUGAAAAAGCUUCAAAUUAAUAUUUGUUUAAGUGUUUUUUGAUCAUUUUGAUGUGCUGAUGUCAAAAAUAAAAAAAUAUGAAAAAACAUUAUUUUAAUGCAUUUUCAAGAGAAAAGAACUUUGAAAAACAACUUCUACCACACUCCCAAACCAACAUGUGUUUGGUAAUGUGGUGCAGUGUGCUUUUUAAUUGAAAAUGCAUCAAAAUGAUUUUUUUUUCUAGAAUUUUUUUUUAUUUUUGAUAUCAGCACAUCAAAACCUUCAAAAAGCACAUAAAAAAAAAAUCAAUUUGAUGCCUUUUUAGGCGAAAAGCAAGAAGCUACCGCAGUGCCAAACAAGCACAAUAGAUUUUUCUCUGCAUAACCUUCAAUCAACUCUUAAUGGAUGCAUUAAUGAAUACAACUAAAGGACAAGUAGUCAUUUAGAGUUUUAAUACAUGGCUUUAUUUUUUACCAAAUAAACAAACUUAAGUCUUGGGGAAAAGUUUAGAGUUUUAUUACGAUGGCUUUAUUUUUGCCCAAAUAAACAAACUUAAGUCUUGGGGAAAAGAACAGAAUUGAAACAACAACAACAACAAUAUUUUUUGUUUGCUUGGAGCAACCAAUUAAUUUAUGUAAUUGGUUUGAGUCAGGGUUUUGGAGCUUGAAGCAACAUUUUUUGUUUGCUUUUCCAAAUAGAGAAUACCAUUCAUGGUGCAACCUUCUUGAUUAUCUUAUUUUGAUUUGUUUAUUCAGAAUGGCUAUAUUGAUGGUGCCUAAAUACCUCAUCUUUUUUGUUCUUUUAAUUCCUGUGGCAAUCCAGGAUGAUGGGAUACUGGUGGUCCCUACAAUGGCUUAUCUUCCUCCAAAACUUGAUGGGAAGGAGAUUUUAUCUGAAGAAUAUAAGAGCUCUUCAUUUAGUCUUUUGAGCAUUGCUAGCCUAUCAGGUUGCUGUCAGGUGAAGCUCUCUCUCUCUCUCUCUCUCUCACUCACACACACACACACACACACACACACAUGCAUGUGCAAAUGGCAAUUAGAUGUGGCAAUAAAUUCCUGUUUCCUUUUAUAAUGCAAAGUUUUAUCACUUAAAUUUAUUUAUUUCUCUUAUUCAUGUUUCAGGUCACUGUGCCAUUAGGAUAUUACGACAAGUGUCCUGUUUCAGUGUCCUUGAUAGCCAGGCAUGGAAAUGAUCGCUUUUUACUAGAUACACUGCAGACCAUGUAUGCAUCUCUGCAAGAACAGGCAGAGACACAUGUGAAAUCUAAAUCAAGGAACACAGACAGCGGGGAAAAUUCUGCUGAGAUGGCUAAAGAAAAGGUAAAUUACGCAUCUUUAAUGUGUCUAUCCUGUCAAAACUGUAUUUUGGAUUGAAUUUGAUUGCACAUAGCAUGCUAAUCUUGAUCUUUCAUUUGAUGACUUUAAUGCCACUUUAAAUCAAUUCCCAUAUCCACCUCAGAAGUUGAGCGAGCAUUAAAAGAGAUACUGGGCCUUACACUGAGUUGUGCUGAUUGAUUUACUGUCAUAAUUAAAGAGUUGUUCAUUGUACACCUUUUGCACAAUGUUUAGAUAAAUUAAAUAGACUUUAAUGUUGGCUCUGGUGCCUGUCUUGUUUCAAUAUCAAUAAUAGAGAAAAGGAAAACCACUGAAUUUUUCUAAAUGUAUUUGCUUCUAUUUCAUAUUGUCAAUGAUACUGCUAAUUUUCAAUGGUUUAUAUGAUAAGUUUGAAUUAAAUUAUUUUAUUUUAUUUUGAUUAAAAAAUAUAGUACUGAUGGGUGUACACUUGUAGUGAUGAUUAGGAUGGCAACUACAAUUAUCUGUGAUCAUUAUAACCAUUAAUAGUUCUUUUUGAGAAAAUUGGCAUCUUGUUUGUUGCUCUUUCCACCUUUUUUUAAAAUGGUGUUAAAUAGCUUCAAUAAAUAAAUGACAAGAUGUUAAAAGGAAGAUGCAUAAGGGAAGAUUACAGACCAACAACACCUGAACAUAAGCUGGGUGAUGCUGCCAAAUCAAUGCAUGUUUGUAUUUAAAUUUACUCACAUUCUAUAAACAUGCAUUUUCAUUUCAACUUAUCUAGGAAUCCAUGAGAUGGAAGACUUGUGAUUCUCAUAGUUUGGAAAUUAUGUUAUUAGUCAGCUUUAUGACUAUCAAUGUCUGAUUUCACGCAAAAGAUUAAUUAGUUCCAUAUUGUUUCAUUGUCCUAUAUAUAAUUUGCAAAUGUUUUGUGCUAUACUAGUUAAUGAAUCUCUUUAGAGGCUGAACUUCCUUGCCACCCAUUUCUAUGAUGAAGGGCAAUCAAGCAUUUAAGGAGAAGCAGUGGAAGAAGGCUAUUAGCUAUUAUAAUGAAGCUAUCAAACUUAACGACAAGAAUGCAACAUAUUACAGUAACAGAGCUGCAGCAUAUCUUGAACUGGGAAGGUAUUUUUUGAUUCUUGAAUGUUGUUGUAUUGGUAUCUUAUUGUACUUGGCUGACAAAUUUCUUUUUCUUUCAGUUUCCAUCAAGCUGAAGCAGAUUGUUCAAAGGCUAUCAACCUUGAUAAAAAGGUGAUUUCUUGCUAUUUUGAUUAGCUUUGUUACAGAUUGCUUCACUAUUUUUCAUCAACUAUGAUGAAACUCUCUUUGAAACCUGCCAAUUUGAUAAGGUUUGCAGAAUACAGCUGUAACAUCAGUUGUUUCUGGAGAUUUAUAGGACUGUCCUGUAGCUGUAUUCAGGCUGCUAUAACAUUGGUUCCUAUUUUUUAUUUCAUUUUUAGAAUGUAAAGGCCUAUUUGCGAAGAGGGACAGCAAGAGAGAUGCUUGGUUAUUACAAGGAUGCAAUUGAAGGUAAGUCAUUUCAUCACAUUACAUCCUUCUUUGAAUAGGUUCUUUCUUUGUUUCAUCUUGUCAUCUGUUAGUUACCUGCUCCCUGGCUUUAGCCAAUCAGGUGAUGUCUACAGAAAACGAUCGGUAGUCAAUUAUUGAGCUAUUUUGUUGUAGCUGCUUGUUGAGACUGAGAAUAUGCUAAAUAUCUGUUGAUCUUGGAAUUCUUCUAACGCACCUCCUUUAGUUAUUUCUAAUCUUAUUGCCCCAACCCCGUGGACUAAUGAAACCUCUUGUUCUUGCAGAUUUCAAAUAUGCCCUGGUCCUUGAGCCAACUAAUAAAAGAGCAUCCCUUUCUGCUGAGAGAUUAAGGAAAGUUUUUCCAGUAGGUUAUUGAAGCAAAAACAAAAGUUUCUGGGACGGGAGAAGUUUUGAAUUUAGUUUCAUACAGCAAAGCUUUGGUUGGUGACUCAAAGCCGAUGACCCCAGUUAAGUAAUGAUACUUGAUAGAUGCAAUUUUAUGCUUGAUAUUUUUAUGGGGUGUUUUUUGUGGGUAGAGAGAAUCCUUCAUGUGGAGGUAAUAGAGGUCAGGCGAAAUUUAUUAUUUGAUCCGAUAGGACAUUUUGGAGCGGUGGAAAAAUUGUUGUCAAAACUUGUAAUUAUAUUCCAAUUUUGUUGUUUAAAUAUCCACGUCAGGCUUUUAUUUCUAGUUUUGAGGUGAUCCCUUAUGCUUGAAAAAUCUUUGCUUCAUUGUGACGUGGGGAAACUUCUGCUUAUUGCAUUGUUUCAUUAACGGAUAAGGUUUUUAUAUCUUGAGGGGUUUUAAGAAGAUUAUGCAUUAGUUUGAUAAAAUUAGCUUAACAUUUUUAUAAUUUUAAUAGAAGAUUAUAAAUACUCUGUUUUUUUAUUGGAUAAAAUUUUAUGAUGAUUGGAAAUGAAAAUUUCAUUUAAAUAUGGUUCAAAAGUUAUCAUGAGGGAUUCGUUUUGUUUGUUUUAUUGUAUUUGAAUUUUUUUUCUACUUAGUGUAACUUUGAAUUUAAUCAGUAUUCUAAUGCUAUAAGUUUUAAUUAAGAAUUCUUUCAUAUAAAGAAUAUUAAAUUUAGAACUAGAAUAAUAUAAACAAGAAUGUCUGGUUUAUUUUGAGAAGAUUUUGAUUUUUAAUAAAAUAUGUGAGUUUUUCUCUAUUUCUCAAAAGUGUUUAGGGUUGUAAUUUUAGGGCUUGAAAACUUUUAUUUUUAUCCACUAAAUAUAUUGUAUUAAUUGGUAUCAAAGUAUGAUGACCUAUUUGAUCAAAGAGGGUGAUAACAACUCACUUUGUGAUGCAGGAGGUGUUGAGGUCUUUCAUGAUAUUACAGGGCUUCUAGAGCAAAAACUAGAUAGUUGGGAACAAAUGUUUGAUUGUUUGAAGUAAACCAUAAAAGAUCGGCUAAUAAGAGAUAAAAAUAGAAAUUGUGAAGAGAAAAGGAACUUGUCUAGAGAUUUACGUUCGAGACAUGUUAUACCUAAUAUCUAUUCCUGAAUUUGAUAAGAUUCUAUUAUAUGAUAUGAGAUUUUCAAAGAAAAGAUUUAUGAAUUAAUUAGCAGAGUUAAAAGUUUAUUUUUUUUAUCAAGGUUCUUUAUUAUAAAAAAGUAGGAUUUGUCGCACAUAAAUUGUUUUAUGGUGCUAGGAAAUGAUGAUUUGAAUUUUUAGAAAUUGUAUUGGUAUGUUUUUAAUUCUAUUUUAGCAAGAUUUGAGGCAAGCCAAACCCAAGACAUAUUCUUGAUUUUGAUAAGAUUCUAUUAUGUAAGAUUUUCGAAGAAAAAAUUUAUAAAUUAGUUGACAGAGUUGUAAGCUUAUUUUUUUUAUCAAAGUUCUUUAUCAUUAAAAGAUAGAACUUGUUGCAUACAAAUUGUUUUAUGGUGCUAGAAAAUAAUGGUUUGAAUUUUUUGAUUUUAGAAAUCAUAUUUGUAUGCCUUUAAUUCCAUCAUAGCAAGAUUUAUUUAUAUUGGAUAGACAAUCAAUUAUAUUGUUAUUAUUAGUCUUUUGUUCAACCUUCUAAAUAGCAAGGAAAAAGAAUAUGGAGGAGUGUUGUCUUUUAAAAGUAGAUAUUUUCAACAUUACGAGAGUGACAACAACAAUACUUAUGUAACUACUACUUUACUUGGAGACAUUUCAUCUACUAAUAGUGAAGAAAAAAUAAUCAAGAAAGCUCCCAAUUAGUAUCCUACAGUAAUUUCUAGAAAUAAUACUGAAGAAAUUUCCCCACGUUACAUUGUGCUCUAAGCUUUUCUUUUUUGAAUUAAUCUAAAGCCUGCAAAUGGCUAUCAUAUUGGCUUUCUUUCUUGAUUGAGUUGUGUGCCUUGGCCUCCUCUCCGCAAAAGGAACAUAUAUGAACCAGUCUUUUUCGCCUUCCACGCCCUUUCUGCUUUGUUCGAUUGCUUUUAUGCCAUAAGUGGGUAUUUUUUUUAAGAUUAGAUUUUCAGUGAUAUGCCAACUAUUUCAUUACUGCAUGUCCAUUGACAGCGUAAGAAGGCGAGAAAGAAAUAAGGAGCUCUGCUCCAAGCAAGCUAUUUUCCAGUAUUAGAUCUUCAUUAAGUGUCUAGAUUUUCUUAAAAAGGAAAAACGAAGGGAUGAAUAUACAGAGAAAUACCAUGCACAUAAUCAGAUAAUUGUGGGUUCAAUCACUUCCUUUUCCUGCAAAAAGGUAACAAAGAAACGCCAAGGAAACAAUCUGUUCCAACUUUUAGGCCAUUCAGCGUGCGCAACUAUCACUAGAUUAAAGCAUAUUCAUCAGUGUAGAAGAGUCCAUUUUCUUAAAAAAAGAAAAAGAAGAAGAAAAGGACACAAACAUGAGAUAUACAUACAUCUUUAAACUUCGAAUUUGACUUCAGUUAAUCCUAAACGUGAUCAAAAUAUUAGUCGGAAUUGGAGCAAAAGCAACUCAAUCAAAUGCAAAAAGCUCCUCCAGCUGUUCAUCUGUCCAUUGCGGUAGUGCGGCUCUUGAAGUUGGUGGUUGUCCAUCUUCAGUUCCGUUAUAAUUCCUCUUUUCUUGGUGGUCAAGGGCACCAACUGAGUCUGCUGCAGCAGUACCAUAUUCAGUACCUUCCAAUAUAUGGUCUAUGCCUGCUUUGCUGUAAUUGUUUAGCUUCUCACUUGUCACAGAUCCCUUGUCAUUGUCACUGGUGUCUGGUUCAACAGCCCUUUCUCUUCUGCCACUAUCCAAAUCCUGUCUCGCCAAUAAAUGAUCUUCCAUUGGAAGAGCAUUUUCAUUUCUGUUGUUUCCAAUGCUAUGACAUCUGCUUCUUAUCGGUGCAUCUUCUUCCAUCUGUUCAUCAAUGCACGCAACUGCCAUAGCAUGUUGUCUCAGACUAUUCAUGAUUCCUUCAGUUCUUCCUUGUGACAACGAUAGAUUUUGUGUCAUCUGUGAUCUUUCACCCUGUCCUGUGAUAUCUAAGGGGAUCAUAAGCAUUUGUAUUAGGCAUUUCUUUCUGAAAAAUGUAACACCAACAAAAGUAUUAACUACUCUUACAAGGAGAGCAAGCAUAUAAUCCAAAGAAAAAGUGUUUUUAGAUUUCUGAAGGCAGAAAGAAAACUAAGUGCAAAGUCUUUGUGUCCUACCAGAAACUACAGCAGCAUUUUUUACUGUUAAAUCACGAGCAGAACAAUUUUGUUCUGGUGAAGCUCUGCCAUCCUUAGUGAUGACCUGAAAAAGGUUGGUAUUAUAUUGUCAUCAACCAUAUAAACACUUGCAUGAUUGCACACAUUUUUAUACAUGAAUAUCAAUUGACAUGAAGCAUCUAAGCGUUUCUUAUAAUCCAGGACCACAAACUCAAAUAAGUUGCUUUGAUUUCAGACAUCAGAAAUCACUUUUCUAUUAAGAGAUCAGUAUUUGCAUGUUUUAUAAUUUGAAAAUAUGGAAACUAACAGGAAUUUAUAGAUCCUACCAUGCAAAAUCAGUAACUACACUAAUAUAGAGGAUGUUCAGAUGGGAACCAUUUAUAGUUCCACAUCGAGAUCCUGACUCCAUUGCAUCAAGAACCUGACUAUACUUCUUCACUGCCUGUUUUUAUUAUUGAUCAUUCUCAAAGGAAAAUCAACUAAAUGAUGUUAACCUUCACAAAUUCUUUAGUAUGAGCAGAUGUGUUUAUCUGAUGUAUAGAGCAAAAACUUCAGAUUGGCUCAGCAUAUACCCCCAGCCAGAAAGUUAAAAUCAUAAAAAUUAAAGAGUAUUAGAACUCCUUUUGAAUGAACAUAGCAAUGGGACAUUUCUAUAAGCUCAUAGAAGUGGGUGGUGAGAGAUUUUCUUCACUGAUAACUUGGAAAAUUGCAUACACCAGAAAGAACACAUACCUUGACCAUGUUACUAAGUGUUAUGUUGAGAUAACGUGCUAAACGUGUAGGACAAAAAACUGCAACCUGUAAACAGCAUUCUUUGAUCAAUCUCUCAAAGCAGAAACUAUCUCAUUGACUCCAAUUUGAGACAAAAGUUUUACCAAAGUCCCAACCGUCCAUAUUUAGAGACAAUAACACUCCUCUUAUUCAAAAUGUGAUAAGAAAAGCCAUGGUCUAGGAACAUUUAUCAUGAACAUGGUUUCAGGGGAAGAAUAAUAGUGAACCUUUUGGACUAUCAUCACAGCUCCAAUAGAUAUGUCCUUUCCAAAAUCUCCCUCAGCGAGGACUUUGUGAUGAAUGCUAGCAUCAAUUGUACCCGUGGGAUCCUAAAUCAAAACCCACUUCCGUUAUACCAAAUACAUGCACAAUUCCAAAAGAAGACAACAAGAAAUUUAUCUGCAUUCGAUAUCAAAACCCUUUUUUUAUCAACAAAAUCAGAACUCUAGUAAACAUACCUUUAGAGUCACCAUCAUAUCACCAAGGCCAUUUGGUCUACAUGAUUUAACAAUGGCAACAACCUAAUCACAUUUUUUAAACAUAGAAAAUAAGAUUCACAAAAAAAUCGUUGACAAUAAAAUUAAUAAUACAUUCAGCUAUCCUAAAAUUAGGAAACAUGCGCAUUUCUGUUACUUUCCCUUACUUUCUCAGGAACCAAACAUAGCCCAAAUAAUCUUCUAAUUUUGUCUUCUAAAUUAAACACAUAAGAUUCAUAAUUAGGAAUAGAUACCUGAGCCACUCUAUCAAAACUAGCCCAUCUCUUUAUCACACUCAAAGGGAUCCCAAUUGCACCAUCACCAUCCACCACCAAACCUAAAUUGCAUAACCCAAAUGAAUAAAAGACAGAAAGAAAAACCCAAACAUCAAAUGAAAAUGAAAAUAUCAAGAACCUUGAUGACGAACAAAAUCAACGGCAGAGAGCCAAGGAUCACGCGUAAAAUCGUCAUCUUCAGCACAACCACUAUCCUCCACAGCCCUUCUAAUGUACUCUUGAGUAGGGAUUGGUUCUUCUUCUUCCAUCAGAUGUUCAUUAAUUUGACUCUUGCGGCGGUGCAUGGCAGCUUGUACGGUUCCAGCAGGGCCCGGGAUUUUGGAGUAAGUGGUUGUUGGUGGUGGUGGGUUGUUUUGGGUGUUCUGAGAGCAGCGGCCAAGAAAUGGUUGGGAGAGAGUGUGGUUAGGUCCACCAGUUCCACCGGUAGUGGCGGUGGAGGGGGUGAAAUUCUGAUGGCGUUUGAGAGGGCGGAGAGGAGGGAGGUCUGAGUCUGAGUCCGACGAGUCUUUUAGGUCUAGUGCCUCUUCCCACGGAGUGUCCAUUUCCUGGUUUCUUUUUUCGGGGUUUUGUGAAAGCGCGGGAAGGAUUAGUAUUCAGGAAAGGUUUGUUAACUAUAGGGAAAAUUUAAGUGGUGUGAACAAGUUAAAAACCUCAACCCGUACUCUGAUUAGUCUACAGAAAAUUCAGUAAAAAACUGUUAAUAUUUUUUUUUAAAAUUAUAUAUUUUUUAUUUUUUAUAAAAAAAAAUGACUCGUGACUUAAAAUUUACCGUAAGUCAUUCUGGAUGGAGUGCAAUAACUAUACUUAAAUCUAUUAUUAAAUCAAACAAAACCAAAGAUACAAGAAUAGAAUAAUUAAUAUCAAACUUAUAGAUCUAUUAUUUUAUUAUUUUAUCAUUAUUUUUUUUUAAUAAAUAGGCUAAACUAGGCUUGAAGUCCAAGCCUGGCCCGAUCAAAUUGGGUUGGGUCAACUAACAACCCAACAAUCUUUUUUUUUUAAUAUAUAUAUUGGGCAGGAACUAGCUCAACAAUAGAGGUGGGGUUGAAACAGGUCCAUCCUAGCUUACAUGCUCACUAACUCAGCCCAAUGACCAUUUAUAAUUUUUGGUUAUGAAUUUUUUUAAUUUAACCCUUAAUUGACUCUAAAUUUGGAUUUUCUUGCAAUUUUACCUCUGUUUUCAAUCAAUUGACUUUGUAAAUAUUAACUUUGGUUUUCUAAAUUCUAAUUUUCUCAAUUAAGUCCAAAAUUGGGCUCCAAACUUAAUUUUUCACCAAUUAAGUCCCUAAUAGAAUUAAUUUGACCUAUUAUAAAUAUAAUUAAGUCAUUGCACCUAGUUAAAUCUUUCAAUUUGACCAAAAUUAAUCCUAAAUAUAAUUUUAAUUUUAAUUUGCUCUAUGAUUAAAUCAAAUUAGCCUAUUAAAAAUUUGAUUAUAUCUCUAGGCUUAAUUUUUAUACAAAUUCGUUCAAUAAUCAAUUAAUUUGACCUUAAAUUCACAUUGUCUCUUCAGUCUUGGGUACAAUGAGGUAUGAUUAGGCUUUCAAUUUUGUCCAAAGCUUUAGCUGGAUUCUUUUCUAUGUAUUUGAACCCUCUCAGCUUGUUUUUGCUAUGUUGCCAACCUUUUUUUUAUUAUUAUUUUUAUAAGGAAAAAAGGGUAAAGUUUUAGGAAAAACCCGAAAAUAAGUUAUGACACAUAUUAUUGAUAACAAAAUAUUUUUCAUAGGGAAAAGACUUGGAAACUCUUAUGUGAUUAACUUGAAUGAUAUUGAUUAUGAAGUUAAGUGUUUUAGUUCUUUAGUAGACUUGUUUUGUAUUUGUCAUAGAAGACUUGGACAUGCCAAUAUGAGAUUAAUUUAAAAGUUGUAUAUAAAAAAAGAGGCUAUGAAAGGACUUCCACAACUUGAGUACAAAAGGAAGUGAUUUGUGAUGCUUUCUAAUAUAAAAAGCAAGUCAAAAGCUCCUUCAAAUCCAAGAAUCAAGUCUUCACAAAUCAAGCACUAUAACUUCUUUAUAUGGAUCUACUCAGUCUUAUGCAUGUUUCAAGUCUCGGUGGUAAGAAAUUUACAUUUUGUUAUAGUAGAUGACUAUACUAGGUUUACAUGACUUUUAUUUCUUGCGCACAAAGACAAGGCACUUUAAAGCUUCUUCAAAACUUUGUAAAAGAAUUCAAAAUGAAAAGAUGUUUGAUUUCCAAAAUUAGAAGUGAUUAUGAUGGAGAACUUGAGAAUUUAUGUGAAGAAAAUGAUUUUAAGCAUGAAUUUUCAACUUCUAAAACUCCAUAACAAAACAUAGUUGGUGAGAGGAAAAAUAGUGUACUUCAAGAAAUGGGAAGAACUAUGUUAAAUGAGUAUAGUUUGCUUAAUAUUUUAGGUUGAACUCAUAUACCUCUUAUUAUGUUUCAAACCAAGUUUUUCUUAUACCAAUUUUACGUAUAACUCCAUAUGAGCUUUGGUUUUAAUGAAAACCUAAUAUUUUAUAUUUUUAUGUAUUUGGAUCAAAAUAUUUUAUUUUAAAUACAAAAUACAAUUUGGGAAAGUUUGAUGCUAAAUUUGACGAAGGUAUUUUUUUUUGUUAUUCAUCUACUAUCAAAGCAUAUAAAAUAUAUAAUCAUAAAACUCUAAUAGUUGAAGGGUCUAUGCAUGUUAUAUUUAAUGAGCCUAACCCUUUUGAUCCUAAAAGGGAAAAAGAUGUUGGUGUAAAUGUUAUUUUUAUAGGUUAAACCUAAAUUAAGAUCUAGAAGACACAAUAUUAGAUUUUGGUAAAAAAAGAAAAAGAAAGAUCCUUUAGUGACGACCAUACAAUAUAAUCAACAUGAGUAAAAGGAACUUUCACAAAGUCUUCCUAAAGAAAUUCAACGACUAAGAGGACUUUCGCAAGACGCUAUAAUUGGUGACCACUUAAGGAGUAAGAAUAAGAUCCUCUAUGAUAAAUCAAGUCGGUAAUGUUGUUUUUAUCUCUAAACUUAAACCUAAGAAUAGUGAUGAAACCUUAUGUAAUGAGUAUUGGAUACUUUUAUUGCAAGAAGAGUUUGAUUGAAAGAAAUCAAGUAUACUAAUUAGUUCCUAGGCCAAAAGAUUGUUUCAUUAUUAGAACCAAAUAGGUCUUUCACAAUAAACUUGAUGAAUUUGAAGAAGUUAUUUGGAACAAAGCUUGACCCAAUGAUACAAUUAAGAAGAAGACAAAUAUUAUGAUGGAACUUAUGCCCCAUUAGCUAGGAUAAAAUUAAUUUGAAAGUUACUUGCAUUUGUAUGCUUUAAGAAUUUUAGAAAUUCUCAAAUGGAUGUAAAAAGUGAAUUUUUAAAUGGUUACAUUCAAGAAGAAGUUAAUGUUGAGGAACCUCUUGGUUUUGAAAGCCAUAAUUUUCUAAAUCAUGGUUUUAGGUUUUGUAUAGUCUUAAGCAAGCUCUUAGAGCUUGGUAUGAGAAACUAAGCAUUUUUUAUUAUUACUUUAAAAUGCUUUAACAUAGAAAAAAAUCAAUUCUACAUUAUUUAUGAAAUACAAAGAACAUGAUUUAAUUAUUGUAUAUAUUUAUGUUAAUGAUAUCCUAUUUGGUACUACUAUUGAAUCUUUGUGCAAGGAAUUUGAAAAUUAUAUGCAUAAAGAAUUUAAGAUGAGCAUGAUGGUGAGUUGAUCUUCUUUCUCAGACUAUAAAUCAAGUAAGAUAAAGAUGACAUAUUCAUAAAUCAAGCGAAAUAUACCAAUGAGCUACUCAAGAAAUUUGAUUUGGACUCUAUAAGUUUAAGUCCUACUCCAAUACUCACAACCACCAAACUCGACAAAAAUGAACAUGGAAAAUUGGUGGACAUGAAGAAAUAUCAAGGUAUGAUUGGUAGCUUGCUUUAUUUAAUUGUUACUAGACCUGAUAUUACGUUUAACAUUUGUCUAUGUACUAGAUUUCAAGCUAGUCCUAGAGAGUCUCAACUUUGUAUUUUCAAGUGAAAAAUAUUUUGACAUUUUGACAUUUUGUAUAUGUUUUUUAGAAUCUGUAAGGCCAUUAUAGUUGUUUAGAUUGACUUUAACAGCGACACAAUCCUUAGAAAGGUGAGUGUGUAACACUAUGUGACUAGGUGAAGACUUUUCCAUUUGGUGGGAGUGGUGUGCAAAAGUUAGGGUUAGUAUGGUCUUAUACAUGUUGUGUCUAGUUUUUUUAGUUGAGGAGCAUAUAAAUAAAAAGACCGAGAUUCAGAAAAAAAUUGAUGGAGAUAGCCACGUUUGUGGUUUGGAUUUGCUAGGGAGUGCUGGCUUAUUUCAAGAGUUGGAAUAUGGUACUUACUUGACUUGUUGUUUUAUCCAGUUUUUUUUUCUAAAAUUAUAGUUAUCUUUGUGCACCUAGUGUUGUGGGUUGAUUUUUUUAUUGAUUGUACUAAAAAGAGUGAAGUUGUUCCUGUAUGGCUAGAAUAACAUUGUUGAGUACUUGCACUUAUUGGAAGAGUUGUUAAAUUCCUGAAGAAACUGGAGUCUCUUUGAGGAGAUCAAUUACUCUCAUAUAUUAGAGACUCAUUAGCCAUGGAUUUUCUUUUAGAAGUUAAAAUGAAAUGAACUGGUUUUUGUAUAGUUUUUCACGCACGACGCCAUUAAUGAUGUUGUAAAAAAGCUUCAUACAUAAAUAAACUUUCCCUAGCUUAGUUCUGGGCCCGAGUAGGAAACAAGUUCCUUAUAGAUAGAAGGACACUUUGAUGUCUAGUUAAUAUUUGAGUUUGGUUGAUCAUGUGACAAGCAUGUAAAAAAUUAAUAAGAUGAAAAAUAUUAUUAAGUUGUGUGUAGAAAAACUCUAUGUGUUAUCCUUGUGUUUUUUAGAUGAAAAAAUAUCCUCCCCUUUUCUCUCACUAAACCUGAGAAUAUAUAGCUUAUCUUGAAAAAAAAUCUACAUUCGUGAACCAUAAAGUGACAGUUGUAUUUUAUAGCUCACUCAUAUCAAGAGUAGCUUGCUAUAUGUAACUAGUACAACUCAACAUCAGAGAGUCAACAUAGAUAAUAAUAAUAAUAAUAAUAAAGGAUACAAAGAGAAGAGAGAGAAAUGGUGGUGAACUUGUUGUGCUUUGCAAUUUGGUCCAAUAGUACAAGGUAGCUCGACUAGGCUGAAAACAAUUAGCCCAUACCGAGAUACCAUAUAGAUCGGCUAGGCUAAAAUAAUCAGCCCCAUUGAGUUACACAAUAGCUCGGUCCACAAGACUGCACAUGACAACUCGGUCUGAGGCAGUAUGGACUCGGUGGGGGUUGUAUGUACAAACUUUGAGUGAGCUACAUACAACCUAUUUGAGGGAUACUUGCAGCCCAUGUCUGGACUGUCAAGUCUAGACCAAACCUUUUUUCUUUUUGUAUUGUCGGUAAGAAUGGGUAGUUGAAUCUUAAUUGGCCAAUCAUAAUUUUCUUGAUUAUGAAAUUAAUUUAAUUCAAUGUUUUUUUUUAAUCCUUUGGUCUUAUAGGGCAUAAAAUACCUUCUCUGUUAGUUUUAUAUAUAUACUAGCUAGUGACCUGUGCUCUGUGAUGGAUUAGAUAAAAAAAUUAAAUGAAAGAUAGAUGCAAACAUUGUCAAACCAUCUUUUGGCAUUAAGAAAAUUUUAAUUGUGAACUGAAAAGUUGAUGUAUAUGUUUAAUAAAAAAAACUAAGAAUUAUAUACGUCAAUAAAUGUCAAAAAGAGUCCUCAAUGCUAACUAAAACUAAGUCGGUAAGAUAAAAGAUAAAUGCUAAUUAAGAUAUCUUAUCUCGUCAUAUAUGAAGCUCUUUAAAUUUUUUUUCCUCUAAUUAUAUGGCAAUAAUUUUUUUUUAUAUAUAAAUAGUAAUAAUUUAAAUUCCAUUAAAACAAAAUAAUUAUAUAUUAUAAUCUUUUCUUUUCUUAUUAAUAUAUUUUUUUAACAAAAAAUAUAGCUUUAUAAGUUAUGUUGUUUAUUUAACAAAAGCUGAAAGUAAUUAUAAUAAAUAUUAAAAACAUUUUGAACGCUUUGAAAUAAGGAUAAAUUGGGUGGAUGAUUAGUAGUUAUCCUAAUUUUUUUUUAAUAAAAUAAGUAGAUGACACAUAAUUUAUUGGUAAAAUUUCAACAAUCUUAGAAAUAUGAAAAGUGAAGUCCGUCCUAUAUGAUCCAAAAAAACCCAUUUGCAACAUUUAUUUUUCAUGUGAAAACUUGUAAAAAAAAUCCCUAAGACCUCAAUAAAUCUAUUUUAAACUUGGUUAAGAAAAUAAAAUAUUAACUCGAAUCCAAAUUAAUCGAGUCCGGAUCUAUCUUUUAUUUUUGCAUGAUGAAGGAUUAAAAAACUUAAAUAACACUCUUCUUAUUUCUAGAAUGUGGCCAACCUAUCAUUUUUAGUUAACUUUCUCUCUCUCCCCCUCAAAUUCAAGGAUUGAAACUGAAAAAAUAAAAAUAAAAUUUUGUACCUAAACAAAAAAAAAAGUAAAAAGAAAAUAGCUAAACUAAAAGUACUUCUCUCUCUCUCUCACACACACACACAAAUAUAUAUAUAUAUAUAUAUAUAUAUAUAUAUAUAUAUAUAUAUAUAUAUAUAUAUAUAUAUUUACUUUUAAGACUUAUCAACAAUUCUGUCUAUUUUAUCAAAAAUAAAAUAUAAAAGUAGCGAUUGUUAAUUUAAUAUACCUUGUAACCAAUCGGUUGGUUAUACGUGACAUUAUUGUAUUCAUGUAAAUACAUAUUUAUUAUUAAUUAAGGCUUUAUUUAUCUUUAAUAGUCAUAUACUAUUAGAUUAAUAAAUUUAAUAUUUGAUUUGUAAAUCUGUAGUAAAGAUAAAGUUCAUGGGAUAAAAAUACUUUGCAAAUGAAAUUAUAAAGUUGUUAUAAUUAUGAGAUUCCUAUUGCAUCAAAGCAUUAUUCUUAAAAUGUUCCUGAUCGAUGCUCUCUUAAAUACUAGAUAUUUAUUAGAGCUGUAGAGACUGCUACAUAUUAUGUUCUUUUCUUUAUGGAAGGAAACAAUUGUUCUCAUAAGUUAAGGUAUAAUGAAUACUUAGAACUAAUAUGUAGGUGCUCGUCAUAAGACAUGUACACUAAACUGACCCGCAUGAGAAUUGUAUAUGGAGAGAGAUCACAUAUAUCUAUGGAAAAACUUACAUGACAACUAUGUAAGUGAUUCUUAGACUUACGAUCACUAAAUUAUCUUAUAUAAAAAAUGUUAUGUUCUGAUCUUAUUAUAUGUUAUCUUAAUCGAGGUAACAAAGGAGUAAAUAUUGAGUAUAACAUGAACUAUUUGAAGAUACUUGAGUGAUCAAGAGAUGAUUCAUCAUCCUAGGUGAAUUAGAAAAAAUAUUUUAUUUAUUCUCAAAUAGCAUUGACUAAGAAAUCAUUGACCAAUGUGGAAUGAGGUUUUUAAAAAAAUUCAAAUCUUAUUCAAACGAUCAAUGACUAUUAUGUAGAGAACAAACAUAAUUUAACAUGACAGACAUACUUCAUGCUUUAAUGUUAAAUCAGAACAUUAUUGGUGAAAGAAUAUUAAUUAUAUUGAGAAACCAGUCACUGAAAAGUUAAGUCAAACUACUAAUGACUUUUCUAAUAUUUGAGGGAUCAUGACACGUUGUUAGACGAUACACUUGAUUUUCAAAUAUAAAUUAAUCAAUUAUUGAAUUGAUAAUAAAUUAAAUUGUUUAAUUUAUUUAAUUCUAUUUAAUUAAAAUUAAAAUUUAUAUUUGAAUCAACAUAUUAGAAAUCUAAUGGGUCACACACAUUAAGAACCAUUAGUCAGAAAUUAAAUUAUGAUGAUUUACUUAAGUAUGACUUAAUUAAAAUAUAUUUUAGAAAUUAAGGAAUAGAAUAUAAUUAAUAUAGAGAUUAUAUUUCUAGACCUCGAGAAAUCAAGUAAGGGCCUGAUUGAGUUAAUUUCUAAAAUUAUUCUAAAUUAAUAUAUGGAUAUUAUUCAGAUGACAAAUUGAUAUUUUUCCAGUUUAUAGUGUUUUUUAGAUUUCUCUACAAAUAAUAAGCUAUGCCUCUUAUUUUUUAGGGGUUGUUUGUUAAAUAGAAAAACUAUUCAAGUUAUAUAAAAGAGAGCUAGCAUUGUAGGCAUAGCAAUCUUUUUUUUUUUCCUAAAUAGGGAUUUAUAAGAUUUAUCACCAAUGGUUCGUGUGAAUUACCGUUGGAGACGGGACAAUUUGAUAACUUGUGGUCUGCGAUAACUCAGUCUUUAAAGAAUUAUUUAAAGUUGAAAAAAAUCAGAUCUUUAGAAAAUAAACCCCUAAACAACUCUAGAUCUGUCUGACGAGAUUCUAGGAACUCCCAAAUAAUUUUAUUUUAUUAUUUUUGCUGUGUGUAUGAUAUUCGAGAACCCAAAACGAUAUAUAUAUUUUUGACUAAAAGGAAGAAAAUUUGAAACCAAGGAUUCAACUAAUAAUCAAAUUAGAAAUGUAGCUAAUCAUUUAAAAUUUGUUGGAACCUAUAUAUUUAUUUAAAAUAAGAAUAUGAUCACGGUAAGUUGAGCUAAUAUAAUUAAGGGUGAGCAUUCAGUUGAUAACUUCGAUUUAGUUUAGGUUAAUCAAACCUUCAAAAAUCAAAAUCAAAAUCAAAAUCAAAACCUAAUCGAAAUGUGAUUGGAUUUUUGGUUUUUUGAAGCAAAAAAUUUGGUCUUUCAUUCAUUUUUUUUUUGUUGCGAAAAACUAAAACUCUCUUCUUUCUUAUUUUAACAUAGAAAAUGAUUUUAUGAUUUUGGUUCCGUAAACAACAUUUCUACCAUGUGUUGUAGAAACUAAGGAUUUAAAUAUCCAAGACAAAUAAAUAAUACAUAAAUAUAAAAAUACAAUUUACCUAUCAAUCAAUCCAAAAAAAAAAAAGGGAUAAAAAGAUUUUAACUAAUAAGAAGGUAGUUUUCUGGUUCUUUAAUGUUGGGUACUUUCAAUUCUUAAAAAAUACAAAAAUUGAAUCGAAUUAGAUAAAAAAAUCAAAUCAAAUAGGGUUUGGUUUUGAAAGCAAAUAGACUUUUGGACAAAAACAAGAGAAGAGUUGAACUUCUGGAUAAUAUAUUUUUGUUUGUGGAACCAGUCUAGAUAAAGAUAGCACCCAAUUGUUCAAAAUAUAUUAUAAAUACGCGUCCAAACGAGCCAGAUGGCAAUCCAUACGAGGAUGCCUUCUUCAAGCUGCUGCUGCUGCUUCCUCUAUUUGGACGCCCUGUACUCUUUGGUCAAUGAAUUUUGUCACCCUGCUAAGUUAGCCGACAUGAAACGUGGGACAAGAGACAAAAAGAAGAAGAAGAAGAAGAAGAAGAUGUCUUGUCUUUGUGUAUUGAACUACGACCACGCGUACUUGUUAUCUUUAUCCUGAUUUACUGUGGUUUUUGAAAGUAUUUUUUUAGUAUUAUAAUACGGUAAAAUUCUUAAAAACCACGACGAACAAACGGUCUCGAACCAUAUCAUGAUUGCCGUUGUUACAGGCUUCCUUACAGCCGAGGUGGUCAGCUAGCUGUCUGUCUAUUCAAAGACAAAACCACCCAAUUCACCAUCUCAUGCCAGCCUCACCCAAUUCACCAUCUUUCAUCUUCCUCCCUCUCAAACUCACGCACAAUUCUUUUACCUGGCCAGAAGGAAAAAACAACGCCUCUAGAACGGACUUGGCAACGCAGAUGGGCCUCUCUGUUUUUUUUUUAUAUAUAUAUAAAAUAUAUAUAUAUUUUAAAGAAAUAUUAUAGACAGUUGUAACACGUUGUACAAAAAAUCAAAUUGUGUUGACUUAGUUAAAAUUUGAUGGAAUUUGGUAACAUAAACAGUUUUGUAUUUUUUUUUUUACCUGGAAACUCCUGUCUGUCACGUCAUUGGUGGGGCUUGUUGAAAAUGCAGUAAUAUAAAAGAGGGAAGGUGAUCAAAGAUUUAAAAAAUAAAAGAAUCAUUUUUAACUCAAACACAUCAAGGAGGAGAAGCUUUGUGUCUAAUGGAGAGCAUUUUGGGUCUGCUCAGAAUUCGUGUCAAACGUGGUAUAAACCUUGCUGUACGUGAUGUUCGUAGCAGCGAUCCUUAUGUUGUCAUCAGGAUGGGCAAUCAGGUUGGUUUCUCCUUUUUUUUCUUUUUUCUCAUCUCUCUUGCAGUUUUGUGUUCUUUCUUCUUAUUUUUCCUUCGUUUGUUCUUUGCUUUCUUUUGGUGCUGUUUCUUCUCCGAGAUCGGAAAAUUUCGAAAUAAGAAAGAACUUGUUAAUCUUGGGUUGUAUUUUUUAAUCUAGAUUCUCAAUUCUUUUAAGGAAAACCCCAAGAACUUCAAGUCUCAAGUAUUUCUUAGAUGCUUUGAUCUGAUAUGUUUAAAUGUUUCUCUUGUUGAGAAAGUAUCGUUUUAGGUCUAUGAUGUUCUUAUGCCCUCAACCAAAUUACAACUUAUUGUGGUAAUAAAUUGAAGAUUGAUGAGUUAUGAUGUAUUGGAUGAAUUGAUAAUCAGAAGCCAGAAAUUCUGUAAGAGAACAUAUUAUUUUUGGAUGUUAGUCUUAAAUUUUAGUAAGGGAAAACCCAGAAUUAGCAAGGUUAGCAUAAAAAAAAGGGUAUAAAGCUAGUUGGCUACUGCCUAGUUGUUUUGGUAAGAAAAUCUGGAUGCCAAUCUUUUCUCAUUUUGUGCUGUAAUCCUAGUCCAAAAUAAUUUCUUCGAUAUCUCCAAUUUCUGUAUGAGCGAUGUCUGUACAAUUCCUCCUGCAACAUAGGAUGGUACAAUUUCUUCGACAUCUUCUCAUUAAUCUUGACAGUUCAGCAUGCUGUGCUAGCAAGUUUAACUUAGGAUGAGAACCACAUUCAAGUGCAUAGAUUAUAACUUUCUAUCGCUUUUCACGCUUUUUUCUUCUUUUUUACAUUUAUUUAAUUUGUCCCCAUCUAAUUUCCUGUCAAGAUUUUAUUGCUUAUAGUACGGUAGGAUGCAAAUGUUGUAGUAUUUCAUAUUUACUUGGAGUAUAUGUUUUUCUUCUUUUAGGCCUUUUUAGUCACUACAUUACGUCUGCUAAUUUUAUGAUUGUAAACAUUUGCUGCAGAAACUGAAAACUCGUGUGAUCAAGAAGGACGUUAACCCACACUGGAAUGAAGAUUUAACUCUUUCUGUUACAGAUCCUAAUCUUCCAGUCAAGCUGGUAAGUUUAAUGUCUUGUCACAUUAGGACAUAAGAGCUAUUUCAGCAAGGGACAUGCAUGCACAUGUUUAUUGUGCAGAAAAGAACUAUUAUGAUUGCCUUCUCUUCAGUGCUCUUUGUCCAACAGCAAAUCUAUUUCCAAAAUGAGUAUUAUAACAAUCUUUCUGAAUUCAAAAAGCCUAACUGAUGGAAGGUGCUUUUAAAAAAAAAUGAGUUAUGUUGAAAACUUUUAGUUAACAUUACAGAGGAUGUGGUUUAACCUGAAUCAUCAGUGCUCAAUACUGCAACCCUUGACACCCCUAUCCUCCUCCUAAGACCCCCUAAUGGGAAAGAGACAAGAAGGAAACAGAGUGAAACUUCAUUAUAAAAUACAUCUCAAAUUCAUUUCAUUUUUUCAGUCGGUUUCAUCGCCAUUAUCUUUUUUCUUUCUUUUUAGUUGGUAGGAACAACAAUAUUUUCAUUGCCUGUGGCUCAGUAGGAUUACUUAAGGCGAGUCCUUCAAAUUCUAAACUGGCACUUCAUUGAAAGGUGCAACUCCAAUUGUAAAAUCACCAAUCUUCCAUUAUGAUGAAGAUUGUCACAGAACCUCUAUAUUCACCAAUAAACAACACUGGCCAGUAAUGCUUCAUUAUGUCAACCUUUAUUUACUCGAGAGACUUGCAGAAUCAAAUUGGGAAUGUGCCUUUUUUCCUGUUGAGAAAAUUUGUCAUCAAUUUGCUGAGUAAUCCCACGUUGGUGCCGCACAGUAUUUGUAAUGUCCCCACAGAAUGCAUGGGCCUCUCCAAUGCUUGUACCUUUUAAUCUGGAUACUCCGAUUUUGUAUCAAAACCAACCAUCAUUUUUCAUCAUUGUUGUGUAACCUCACAUGCUUUUCAUUAUUGUUCCUGGACCAUGGCACUUUGUUAUUGUUGUUCUCAUUAUAAUGUUAAAUGUGCUUCUGUUGAGCUUGUAUUUGAGGCAUAUGCUAAGUGCUUUUAUGAUGGUUGAUAGAGAUUGCUAUGGCUUUACAUAGUACUCGGACCUCUCCACCUACUUGCUUUUACAAGUGACAAUGAUCUGGAUGCAGCGUUGCCUAAGCAGUUGUUACUCUGGAAACUGAAAUUAAGCUAAAUACAACAUAUUGGAUGUGAGAACUCAACAGUUUUCGUACAACUGACUCCUCGUAACAGAUGUGGAGCAUGCAGUAUAUUGUGAAGGGACAGCUGCAUGCAUGAUGUCUUGCUCCAUGAACUUGUAAAAGUCAAAACAAUCACUUAAUCCAAACACAAGAACCUGAAAAUUAGGAGGCAGUCAAGGAAUUACUAACUUCAAGAACCCAAAUGGGCAUAGAGUUCCCUUUUAUGUUGAAGGCUUUCUACUUCCUCGACCUAUAUUUAUAGGAUCACCUAAUGCAUGCAGAAAAUAUCAUCUUGUAUGUUUUUGCUAUGUAUCAUGCUUUCCUAAUAUUCCCAGAUUCAUAUUCAUGUUUGUUUGUGAUUUCAGAUCGUCUACGACCAUGACUUGUUUACCAAAGACGAUAAAAUGGGAGAGGCAGAGUUUGAUAUUAGGCCAUUCAUAGAGACCUUGAAGAUGAACUUGGCAGGGGUUUCAAGUGGCACUGUCAUCACAAGAAUACAACCGAGCCGGCAAAAUUGCUUAUCUGAGGAUAGCUGCAUUAUUUAUAGUGAUGGCAAGGUUGUUCAAGAUCUCUACCUCAGAUUAAAAAAUGUGGAAUGUGGUGAAUUGGAAAUCCAACUCCAAUGGAUUACCUUCCCUAGCUCGAGGGGCUUUUAAAGUUUAUGACUGUUCCUUUAUUUGCUUCCAAUCACAUGAUAUGGACAGGUUGCUUUCAAGCUUCUACCACCUGUGUGGAGAUCUAUCCACUGAUUUGCCUCACAAACUAACCUUUUAUGUACUUCUAUUACCUGUGUUCGGAUCAGGUUCUUAGCUCACGAUAGAGGAUUGAGCAGUUUAUGGUUCUUGUUCUUGAUAUGUAUCUAAAUCUGUAAAUACGCUUUGUGCUGGAAAUUUCUGAACUUCGCGAGUUUACCUGUUGAAAGCAUGAUGACAAGUAGAUAGGCCGAAGCAUGUUUAUUCAUUACUGGAACGUGUUUGACAGUACUUUAUACAAAAGAAGGAAGCUUGCGUUAUAUGUAUUUUUGGUGCAGUUUUGGCUGCAUAAUGUGCCGCACUACUUGCUUCUUACAUGCUUAUAUCCUGAGCACUCUUACAAUCCCACCGUACCACCAUAUUGGUGUUGUUAUUUAGCUAUCCUGACGUUGAGGAUCGGUGGACGCCCCUUAUUGUGCAGGAUCGUAUGCUUCCACUCAGACGGGCUUGUUUUGUAGGUGGGCUUUCGAAAUAUGGGCUUAACUCAGUUUUUGAUUGCCUGUCUGUAAGCCUAUCAACACUUGCACGCACCAAUUUGGGCCUUUUUGAGUUCAUGUUUAAUAUUAUGGUUGGGGGUUGAUAUUUAAAAUGUUUUUUAUUUAAAUAUAUUUAAAUAAUAUUUUUUAUUUUUUAAAAUUUAUUUUUAAUAUUAAUAUAUUAAAAUAAUUCAAAAAUACCAACUUCAUUCUGGAAACACUUUCAAUAUAGGUUGAGUUAGUUUUGCAGUAGCUCAAAUAUGACCUAACAAUAUAUUCUUUGAAUUAAUUUCUCUAUAUCGAAAUUAGGCUUCUUCAUGAUUGGAUAUUAAAUAAUUUAUUUAUAUUUUGAUCAGUAAAUUAUAUAUAUAUAUAUAUAUAUUAUUUUACACAGUAGGAUUUGUUACUUAACGAGAGAGAACGUAAAAAAAAAACACCCUACUUAUCAACAAUAUUUUUUUAUAAAUUAUUUGUUACCUCCUCAUAAUGUUGAUAAAGAAAAAUAAUUUUUUAUUUGUGUAACUUUUUCGAAAACCUAUGUAAUAUGAAAAGCUUUCGUGUCCAUGUUCUCAACUCUCACUACUUUAAUUUGUAAAUUAUUAUUUUUUUUAAAAAAAAAGCAAGCAACCAUCCUUCGAGUUUAUAUAUAUAUAUAUAUAUAUAUAUAUAUAUAUAUAUAUGAACUUGAAGGAACAACCACAAAUAACUUGAUCACACGUGUGCAUGCUUACAUAUUAUAUUUAUGUAUACGAAAUCCACUAGAUAAUUUAGUUUAGUUUAUCCUUCACACAGCCCCAUCCUCUCCUAAUUUCCAUGGUAAGGUCAAUAUAUUAUUUUUGAAAUUCCAUGGGAAUCCUUGCAGAAAAGAAACGUCCCAUUCUCCAACAAGGCAACUAGCUAGCGACCUUUGCCGGCUAUCCAUGAGAAACAAUACCAAGACCAAUAUCUGCAGAUCCUUUGCUUACAUUAAAGCAACUUUAUAGCUGAAGUUUGCCUUUUGUUCCAAGAAAAAAACAAUACAUGGGGAGUGUUCAUUCAAGUUGAGCAUGUGUGUGCAGAUUUCCUUCACCCUACUCAAUGUGCUUUUGCCUCUUUGUCUGUCUAAUUACCUGCCAAAUAAUGUAGCAUCUUUCCUGUCCACUUCUCUUCUCCUCUCCUCUCUCAUCUCCAUUUAUAUAUAAAAUUGGGGAAUUAGCACACAAAAUCAAAACAAUUGGCGAAUUGACAUAGGAGCAAAAUAUUUUUACAAAUAGUAUAUUUUCAUCUUAUCGCGCUUCAGAAACACGAUAUUUACUAAGGCCCCGUUUGUUUUGCUAGAAAGUAGUUUUUUUUUGUAAAGUGAAUUCCGGGAAAGUAUUUUCCACGCUUCUGAACCGCGACAAGAUAAAACUUAAAUUAUAUGGUUCAACUGGUUGAUCGAUUUAUAAUGGCUAGUAAAAUCAGUUGACCAGUUCCGAAAAUAACAAGGAAAAUCUCAAAACUACUAAAAUUGAGGGCCUCAGCAAGAUUUUUAAUAUCUAAAGAUCUAACAGUUCGCAUAGCGACGCAAUUGAUAUAAUAGGAAAAACAACUCUUGUAAAAACUUGAGCGCAAUUCAACAGUCAGAUAACAAGUUAUGGUAUUUUGAGCCGUUCUUUUGGUCUGGUGCGGUCAAAUCUCCUUUUGGGCUUAGACCUGUUUCACUGGUUCAUAAAUGCAUCUACCAGGCCAUCCACAUAAUUUAUUUGGGUCAGAUCCUCAUUUAGUUAUAACAGACUCACACCUGAUUGCUUAGAAUCACCUAUUAUUGCAAACUCAACUACAUCAUUGACAUUGAAAAAUAAAAGACAACUUGUAUGUUAACACUAACUUUUUGAGUCUAUAAGUUGGACAAAGAUAUAUAUUUUGACUCAAAAUAUAUUUGGAAGAAAAAGUUUAUUAAAUUAUGGUUUUUAAGUGAGAUGAUCAUUGUUUCAUACAACUAGAUCCAACCGGUCACCCAAUUGAGCCAAAUAGUUAGAGUUUCACCUUAUUGUGCUUUAGAAGUACGACAUUUAUUAUACGUUGCUAUUUUGAAGCACAACAACAUAAAAAUAUGAUAUUUCCCUAAAUCUUUCUUAAAUGGUGUUAUUCUACAAAAUAUUUUAAGAAACUCUGCUAAUUAUAAAAAAUUUCACAGUUAUAAACCACUUUCUUGGGUUAUAUAUUCGAUUGUGAAAAAAAAAAUAUGUAAAAGAAAUGAGCCACUAUUGAAAAAUAAAAUGUCCUGCAAAAGUGAUAAAUUCUAAUCUAGAACAAUUAAUAGGUUCAUUUUGCAAAUUUAAUUAUACUACCUACACCAAUUAUAUGUUGCAAAUGAUGAAUUCAUUGAAUUUUCUCUAUAAUUUAUGUAUCGAUUCUCACAAUGUGUCAUAUGCGAGGCUUAUGAAAGGAAAAAAAAGUAUAAUUGAGGAGAAAAUAGCUAAAAAUGUAAUUAUUCUAGAAGUGUCUCUAAUAUGUCUCUAUAUAUUUAAUUACUUCUAAUAUAUUUCUAAAUGAAUUUAUAUUGAUUUAGGAGGAAUUAAUGAAAUGUACAUCAAUUUAAUCAUGAAUCAACUUUGAUAAUGAUAGAGUGAUAAAUCAUGAUGCCUUUAUUUGAAUCAUUUAAAUAUGAUGCAAAAUGAACAUUGUUUUAUACAAAGAAGGUCCAUUAAAUGCUCCUAAUGACUUCAAACAUUCUUUAAUAAAGAUACGAAAAUACCAAAGGGUUCGAGAGAGGGCAACCCUAUAAAGAAUUUUGGCCAAAUCGAAAAUAUUAGCAAUCAUGAGAAAGGUGGGAGAACAAAGAAGAUAUUGAUUUAAGCAAGAUGCCUUUAUUUGAAUCAAAUCACAAUGGAAAAAACCACUAUACAAGUUAAAAAUGGAAAAUCACCUGUCACUUUUUCUACAAGGAGAAAAUAAAUAACCUGUUAAUAUAUCAUAUGUUAAUAUUUAUAUAUUUAAAUAAAAAAUAAGAUCUUAUUUUUUAAUCCUAAAUCAUUAUCAUUUUUUACAUGAUCCAAUAAUUUAUAGAAAAGACUUUCCCUUGUAUGUACAAAACGAGCUUAUUAUUUGCCUUCGUCAUUCUAUAAGUCUCUUUUUUUUUGUGGAUGACAUUAUCAUUUUCUCUGACAAUAUCUAUUAAUUUAGAAUUUAAUUUGGAAAUCAUAUUUUGACAUGGGCACUUGUAAACCUACUUUCAAUGCCAGAAAAUUAGGAAAUACAAACGGUAAUACUGAUGGAAUUUUUUUCAUCGGUAAAUUGUGGUGAAAUUUCUCGACAAAAUAUUUUCUCGCAAUGUCCCUCAGUAUACACUGAUGAAUUUUUUUUGUCGGUGUAUACUAGUGGAGUUACAAUGAGAAAAGAAGGAAUGAAAAAGAAAAAGAAAAUGAUGUAUCAAGCUUACAAAAUAAAAUAUUGACGAAAUAAACUUAUCGCUACUAUCCAUCGGUAAUAUUUAAGUUAUGAACUAGCAGCGGCCCCCCUCUCCCAUUUCUUUUUCUUCCUCCAUUUUUCUAUGCAAAUAACAGUAGAACCCCCCUAUUUUAUCACAAAUCAAACUACCAUCACCAUAAAUCCGACCACCCCAACAGUCAGUCUAUCAACAUCCUUGUUCUAGUUCAAUUUUUUUUUUAGAAUUCCUCACAUUAAGUAAGCAAAACUACCCAUUUUUUGUUUGAAAUCAAUUUUAAAAUGUUAAUUUUAAUGGCAUUUUAAGGUAAUAUAUGUAGUUUGUUUGUGUGUUUACUUGUUUUAUAGCUUUUUUCAUAUAAAUUUGUUAUAUGAAUGUAUGAUUUGUACAUGUUAAGGUUUGUUUUAUAUCUUAAAAAAUUAUAUUUGUUUGUAAUUUGAUAAAAUCGAUUUCGAUUUUGUGACUUAGGUUUUUUGUAAUGAAAUAAAUAAUAACUUAUUUAAUGGUUACGUUUCAUAUUUUAUCAAUUUAAUUGUUGAGUUGAAGAUUUUGGUAAAUGUGGAGGAAUUUGAAUUUUUGUAGAAAAUUAAUAAUGAUUUAGGCCCCGUUUGUUUGCUGGAAAGUAGUUUCCUUUUGGAAAGUGAAUUUCAGGGAAAGUGAAUUCCGGGAAAGUAUUUUCCGAUGUUUGGUAGUGUAAUGGAAAAUAAGUUGGAAAACAUUUUCCAGUGUUUGGUUAUGUCAUGGAAAAUGAGCUGGAAAAUAACUUAUUAAUGUUUUAUUUUUCUCAAGUUUAUUAAAAUAAUGAGGAACAAAUCUUACAAAUUAAAAAGUUGAAUGAGAAUGAAAUUGAAAAAAAAUAUAAUUUCAUAAAUUAUCUCAAAUAAAAUAAAUAAUAAUCAAAAUAAUAGAGAUCAAAUCUAAAAAAUUAAAAAAAAUAAAAGGUGAAGAAAUUAAAAUAAUAAUAAUUAACAUUUCAUAAAUUAUUUCAAAUAAAAUAAGUAACAAUCAAAAGAAUGAGGACCAAAUUUGAUAGAUAAAAAAUUUCAAUAAAAAAAUGAUAAGGAAAAAGUAAAUAGCAAUUAUAAAAAUAAGGACCAAAAUUAAUAUAAAAAUUAAAUUUUAAGAGAUGGAAUAGAAAAAUAAAUAUUCAAAACAAAUUAUAUACAACAAUCAAAAGUUUGAGGAUCAAAUUUGAUAUAAUCAGCAAAUAAUGACAUUUCUAAAUUUUUCACAACUUCCGGAAAGUGUUUUCCGCCCAAAUUUUCCAGGAAAACACUUUCCUGAAAACCAAGCCAAAUUUUCCUUUGACUGGAAAGUGUUUUCCGUUGACCAACUUUUCUAAUGGCAAACAAACACAGGAAAGUUUGGAAAGUGGUUUCCCGGAAACCACUUUUCGGAAAACAAACACAGCCAAAAGGGAAAACACUUUCCUGAAAAUCAAACCAAAUUUUUCUUUGACUGGAAAGUGUUUUCCGUUGACCGAAAAGUGUUUCCGUUGACUGGAAAGUGUUUUCCGUUGACCGGAAAGUGUUUUCCGUUGACCAACUUUCCUAAUGGCAAACAAACACAGGAAAGUUUGGAAAGUGGUUUCCCGGAAAGUGAAUUCCGGGAAACAAACAUGGCCUUAAGAUUAUUAUUAUAAUACAUUGAAUAAGUUUGAGUUAAACCAAUACUAGCUAAUUUAUUUAGUUCAUAUAAUUAAUUAAUACAUGUUGUCAUCAAUAUUUUAUAUAGAUUUGAUAUAAGUAAUGGAUGAUCGUUCUUGGAUGUAUUGAGUUUCACCUUAAGGGCUGUGCAGAAUGGAUUAUUGUAAUGUGGUUGAGGGUUUUAUUAAUUACGCACUAUCUAUCCAAUAAUUAUUAGUGGAGAUGAUAUUAGAUAUCCAUGUAAGAGGUGUAAGAAUAAAAAGUUUCUCGAUCCAGAUGUUGUAACGAUGCAUAUUCUACAAAAAUGAUUAAUGGAGAAAUACUUAUAUUGGUUUGCACAUGAAAACCAUAUGUUCCUUACGAGAUCAUGAUAGAAAGGAUGAUUCAGUCAACUUUUAGUUUUAUCAACAUGCAUGAAGUUAUAGACGACAAUAGUAAUCAUUAUAGGAAUAUAGUUAUAGAUGCGAUGUGAAUGAAUCAGAGUUACUUAUAUGAAAGAACCAAAUGCAAACGCGACCAGAUUUUUUGAUCUUUUAAAAGACUUUGACAAACCAUUAUAGGAUGAGUUCAUGAUUAGUACUUAAAAGUGAAUUCUCAUUAAGGCUUUAUAUCAUCGUAUUGCACUAAAGUAUCAUUAAAUUCUAUAACUAAAACAUGUUUUAUAAUAACAAGUUUGAUAAUAUAAUAUAUCUUUAAUUUAUGGUAAAUGCUUAUUUUGAAUGCAGGUAUAUCUCACAAUUCAAAGAAUUGAUUGAUGUGAUUAACUAUUGAAAUUAAGAAGACAAAGAAAGGGCUAAGAAAAGAGAUGCUGGUUCAAACUGGAACACCAUUCAGUUAUUGGAUCAUAACUAAAGUUGUAGACCUUGGAUUUAGGUCUGCUUUAUAUGGAUGGAAAGCUAAGAUAUAGACCUAAAACUUUCAUGAAGAGUCCAAGACUCAAUUCUGCCAUUUUCAAGUUCAAAUCUUAGCAACAACGAAGAAGUCAGAAUCUGUCCUGCAGCUCAGACACUGUUUGGUUUUUAGCUCAUAUCUUGAGUUCUAGAAGUUCAAAUGAGCUCUGUUUUUUUUUUUUUUUUGAAAGCUAAGAUAAUUGCCCACAACUUUUAUGGAACAUAGGGCUUAAAUUCUGAUGUUAGCAAUGAUGUUUUGGCCAGCCAACAAUAUUAAUAAUCAGCCAACAAUAUCAAUAACCAGCAGGCAACAAUGUCAAAAACCAGCCACCAAAUCAAUGGUUGGCCACCAACCAUUUUCUUAGUCAACCAAUCAAUAGUUCUGAAUCUUAGCCUAUAAAAAGAGGCAUUUGCCAUGUAUUUAGUCAUCUUGGUUUUCAGGUCAAGAUCAUAUUCUUGCUUUCUUUCUUUAUAUCUUUGUAAUAUUCAAGUUUUCUUUCAUGCUAUAUUAAUCUCUUGUUUAUGCUUUUUCAUUUUCUUUCCUAUACUUAGUUAACUUAUAUCAUGUUUAUGUUCUUAUAUUGUUUAUUUAUGUUUUUCUUAUUCUUAAUGUUUAGCUAAGUUUAUAAUGUCAAGGUGAAAAGGUUUCACUAAUAGUGUUAAAAUAGGUAUAAUAUAAACUCAACAUGGACUUCAAUGUUUAUAUCCAAGAAAGUUUGCUAUUAACAUGUCUUAUCUUUUUAUCUUACUAAUUCUUAAUACAUUGCUUGUUAAAUGGUUAAUAUAGAUUUGUGUUGUAUAACACUUGGUACAUCAAAUGCUUGACCCUUCAUAGUCUUCAACAGACAUCGCUAUUAUGAUAGGAACUUGAUUUGUUAUUAACAUAAGCUAGCAAGAUGAAUGCCUGAUGAUAUUUAUAAGUAUGGUGUUACUUAGAUAAGAUGAUUAAUAUGAUUAUGUUAAUACUUUAUAAUGAGCUAAUAACGAUAAAUCAUCCGAUUGAAACCUCCUUUAUGUGUGGUUUUCAGUUGAGUAAUAAAAAGAGUUUAUAUUAUAUUUAUUUGAAAUACCAUUAGUGAAUCUUCUAACCUUGACAUUUGUUUUAUCAUCACAUCCCAAAACUCGCUUCAACUUCUUUUUUGUUAUUAUUCUCUUCCUUAUAAGAAUAUAGUUAUAGAUGCAAUAUGAAUGAAUCAUAGUUACUUAUAUGAAAGAACCAAACACAAAUGUGGUUAGACUCCUGCACUUGGGAUAAGACAUCAACUCUUUGAUCGUGUCAGUUCACAAAUCACAAUAAAUUAUCAGUCAUUGCACAGGUGUUCACCAUCAAGUUAGAGCAUAGGUUGGGUGAGAUCGGUUAUGACAGAAUUGUCGAAUGCGCAAGAAAUAUUUUACCUGAAAGGAAUAAGCUGAAAGAGAACUUCUAUACUACUAAAUCCAUGAUGAAACCUCUUGGCCUAGGAUACCAGAAAAUUAGCAUGUGUCCAAACUUCUGCAUGUUGUACUAUCUUGAAAAUGCAGAUUUAACCGAGUGCAGAACCUGUGGGCAUGCUCGUUAUUAACCUAGAACUGGCAAGGAAAUGACUUGUCGCACAUAAAAAGUUUAGAUACUUCCUAAUCACUCCAUUAGAGAUGUGUAUGAGGUCGGAGUUCAUGUUUUUAUCUACGGUCAUACCCGAUUCUAAUAGUUCGAGUUGAAAUAUAGAUGAUUUUUUUUUUAUUGUUGAUUGAUAAGUUGAAGCAAUUGUAGUCAUCUGAGAUUUUGACUUAUGAUGUCUCGAGGAAACAAAAUUUUAAGAUGAAGGUAACUUUGAUGCGAAUUAUCAAUGAUUUUCCUGCGUAUAGAAUGAUUAGAGCACACAUGAAAAAUUAACAUGUCUAUAUUGUAUGGAAAAUAACAAGGCUUUCACCUUAAAAAAUAGUGGUAAAACAUUUCUUUUAUUGCUACUAGAGGUUCUUGUCAACCGAUCACUAGUACAAAAAGAUCAGAAAAGACUUCUUUACUGGUAGAGUUAAAGUGAUGUUGCAUCACUGGUUCCGUUGGGUAAACAUGCAUCCUAAUAUGGUAUUGUAGUACGAUGACAUUGUGUUUGGUUUUCAAUUCAGUAAGCAGAAGUUUCUUGAUUUUGGUGUGACCUAUAAGAUGCAUGUUAAGACUUUGAUAUGCGAGGUUUAUAUUGUUAAAAAGAUCUCAACAUUUAUCUUGUAUUAUUUCGAGUCUUAUUUGAGAACAAAAAUGCACCGUGUUCUAAGACAUGAUGACGAUGGAGAAGUACCUUUGAGUGAGAACUUUUUAAUAUUUUCCCAUCUUGGAUGAUCUGUACCCAAAAAUACAUUGAGGAGAAGAUAUUUGACAAAAACUGAAUUCAAACAUGUAUAUAAUUAUGUGUUAUGUGAUUGCGAUAAAUUAAGACAUUUUAUUCAGUAAGUACAAUAAUUAACAUGUUGUUAUUUUCUAAUAUUUUUUUAUCUUAUACUCUCACUGACAGAUUGAAUAAUUCAUCGUAGAAAACAUCAUCAAUUUUUACUAUUUCAAAAUUCACAUCAGACUGAAUCUCAAAUUUUUCAAUUACAAGAUGAAUAAUUUACCAUGUGCUUUAGAACACAUGUAAGCACUCUUUAAUUAUUCUUAUCUCUUGUAAUAUUUAAUUUCAUUACACCUUUUUGUUUAGCUUGUUAAUGGUUAUAAUCUGGGGAGGAAUGCUAGCGGUAUUUUGAAUUUAAUAUGUUUAGUUCCCGAAAAAAAGAUUAAGUGUUAUAACAUGUAUUUCAUCAAUAAACAUGUCUUCUCAUACUAAAAAGCAUGAGCAAAGUAGAAAGACAUAUAACAAUGGAGUUUAUGUUAAGAGAUUGACUUAUGAUGAGUUUGAAGUUGACUAUUAUGGGAAGUUAGAAAACGUGAUUGAAUUGCAAUGCCAACAAGUUUGGUUUGAUAGUCUUUUUUACUCAAAUGUUAUUGAUUUGAUACAACUGAUAGAGGGAUUAGAGUAGAUCCAUAUCAUGGUUUGGUCGAAAUUAGUACAAAGGCUAGACCUUGUAAUGUCGAUGAUGUCUUUGUUUUCGCCAAGUAAUGCCAACAAGUUUAUUACACAUACACUCUUUUCUUUAGAAAUAAUUGUUCUAAGGUUGAUUGGUUGUCUAUAGUGAAAACCAAACCUAGGGUUCGUGUUCAAUUUGUUCAGGAUAGUAACGAUGAAGUCACUGCAGGAGAUGAUGUCUUUUAACUUAAUAAGUUAGUUAAUUCAUAUCGAGUUGCUUUAUCUAUUGACUUGGAAGAAAAUUCAAAUUUUCACAUCACUAAUAAUACUUUUGUUAAUGUUGAUGCUAAGGAGUUGAAUGAUAUAUUGAUAACCAACAGACAUACAAAAGUCGAUGAAGAUGAUGAUAUUGACGAGCAGCAAUUCAAUAUAGAAGAUUAUGGUGGACAUGACGAUGAUGAAAAUAAAGAAGAAGAAGAAGAAGAAUACAAUUCGAGUUAAUUUGUCAAACAUCAAUGCCUUAUAAACAGAUUUUAAUGUAAUAUAUCUUGGUUGUUCCUUUACAAAGACAUGGAUUUAUUAUUACAUGACAAUGAAAUAAUCAUUUUUAUGAUUUUAUUAUUACAAACAUAAAUGGUGUUAUUGUAUUGUGAUUUUACUGUAUAUGCAGGAUGAAUAGAUAUGAAAUACAACAAUUCAAGAAAAACAAUUUUUUUAUACCGAUGGAAUCACUGACAGUUGUUCAUUAUAGAUGGAACCACCAACGGAUUAACUUUAUUGGUAUGUUCCAAAGAGUUGGAAAAACAUUACACCUUCAUGCCAUUGACUAUUAUAGAUGGAAUGACCGACAUAUUAACUCCAUCAUAAAGUUCUACAGAGUUAAAAACAUUGCACCGCCAUGCCAUCGACCAUUACAUAUGGAAUCAUCGACCAUUACAUAUGGAAUCAUCGACGGAUUAACUCCAUCAAAAAGUUUCAGAGAGGUGGAAAAAAAUUACACUCAUAUGCCAUUAACAACUACCGACUAAAUCACCGAUAAACUGAAAAUGCAUUGAUGAUUUUAGGUUGAAUUGAUAAUUUAAUUCUUAAUUACAAAUGAAAUUACCGAUGAAAAUUAAAAAAAUAAUAUUUUUUUAAUGUCUGUCAGUAAAAAAACCCUAAAUAAAAGAGCAAAAUCCCUAACUUUGGAAUACCAACCCGUCUUCUCUCUUCCUCUCAAAGUAUCUCUGCAUCUUCUCCCUUUCUUCUCUCUCUGUCACUGUUAUUUUCCUCUUCUUAUUCCCUCUCAUUCUCUUCGUUUCUCACUCCACCCUCACGUGAGAACCCUCCACACAAGGUAAAUCUCUUUAUUCUUUAUUUUUUUUUUGUCAAGGUUAAUGGGUUAAUUAAUUUUUUUUCACUCUCAAUCUCUUCCCCUCUCACACCAUCAAGGUCCUUCACCCCAACUAGGAGAAAACUUCUAAGUUAAUCUCCUUUUUCUUCCUUUUUUUUAUUAAAAGAAUUGUCAUUGUGUUUUUACGAAAUAUAAUUUUUGUGGCCAAACUUAUAAGCCAAGUAGUCAAAUCUCUUAGCUGAUUUUCAUAAUUUUUUUUAAUAUGAGAUAUUUUGUAUAAUUAAUUAUCAUUUUUCAUUGUUAUUUUUUAUGGAGUUUUGGCAAGAUGCUAACCUAUUAUAGUAGAUUUUAAUCCUAGAUGAGAAAAGGGAAAGGGAUGGAAGUGCAUUUUGGGUAAAAGAGAAAUUUGUUUUAAAUUAAGUAAAAUUUUAUUUGAGGUUAUAUGUAUUUUAUUUGUUACAGUGAGUAAUUUAGGUUAAUUUUGUUUCAUUAAUUAAUAUACAAAUAAUUUGUUGGUAGAAAACAUGUUUAUUUUAAAAAUAAUUUAAAAUUACUUGUAUAAAAUUAAUUUUAAUUUAAAAAUGUAAUGAAAUUCAAUAGAAAAUCAUUGCAAGUUGCUUGUUAUGCAAUGCAUAGGUGGAAAAAUGUAUUAAUAUACAAAAUAUAAUUUUUUUGAUGGAGUUAUGAAAAAAUUAUAAAAAACUUGUUAAAAUUGGCCAAAUUGUUAGUUUAUAUAAUUUUAGGAAAUUUUAGAAAUUAACCAAAUUGUUAGCAAAACUAAUACCUUUGUUGAUUCCUCACAUUUUUAUGGGGUUCUUUUUUUAUUUGGUAAUCGAUAGGAACAAUAACUUGUCUUACAUAAAAUCAAUUGGUUUAUGACUACAUAUUAUUGAUGCGUGUUUACACGUUGUUAAAUUAUGGGUAGUCUGUUGUAUAGGGAAGGUGCUGCUGAAUUGUUUUUAAAAUAGGAAUGUUAAUCUUUUUUAAUCAUUUAAUUUGUGUAGAUGCCGAGGGAAAAAUUGAUUGCGAGUCAUAUGGACAUAAGCUCUUCUAGUUCUUUUAACAGUGUUUCUGGCCACCAUGAAUUGUUAGGUGCCGAUCAUAAACAGAUCCCUGAGGCACAAGCAACCUCUAUCAAUGCAGGCUUGUUGAUUGCGAUGUUGCCUUGUUGAGAGGGGUCCAUUCAUGGCGGGAUGUAUAAGCUGGGAAGUAUGUUGCCCAGUGGAAGUCUGGCCAUUUAAUGUAAGUUUGUUUUCAUUUCUUGCACGAUUAGAAAAUAAAGAAUAGUUCAUAUUUUUUAAAAAUAAAUUUCAAUUAACGAAUUUAAUUUUAGGUUUACAAAUGUUGAGGCUACCCACACAACAACAUUCGUGAUGAAAGUGCAAUUUUUUCAAUGGAGUCAUGUUUUCAAAAAUCUUUAAUGAAAACCCAUGAUUGAUGUUUGGUUCGUAAAGUUCAAGGUUAGCAUAUACUUAAGCAAUUUUUUAUGUUAAUUUGGUUAGUUUAUUAAUUUUAAUGAACUAAUUUGUUUACAAAUUUGACGUUCAAGGAAAAGUUUUGCUAGGAUAGGGCUGACAACGAUGUUGCUAAGAGGGUUUAGGAGAAUCACAAUGUAAUUAGGUAAGAUUGAAUUUAAUUUGUUAAUUUAUUUUAUUUAAAUAUUAAAAUUCAUUUUUCAUAUCUUAACCGAUAAUUCAUUUCUACCUUAUAGGUUGCGUGAUUUUUGGUAUAAAACGCAAAAAAAAAUGCUAAAGAAAAAGGUCUUACAGGUUGGAGAGACGUGGUGGUUUGGAGGGGUUUCAGACCACCACACGUCCCGGAGGCUAUAUGGGCAGAUAAAACCCAGCACGUGAUGUCCAUGCGUUUCGUGCGACACUCGUAGUCUUGUGUUGAGACCCAAAACAAGGAAAUUCAUGGUUCAAUUACCACUCAUACUGAGGGAUCCAUUCUGUUUGUUUUACAUGCGAAGCGGAUGAUAAUAUUCUUUUUUAUUACAUCCAUUCUUUUAAAAAAAUUGUUGUUUUAUAUAAAAAUGUUUAACUAAUAGUAGUUUUUUUUGUAGGCUACAACUUUUAGACGCGAACCAAGACUGAUGAAUUUUUUUUAUAGAAACUCACAUGCGAAAUGCUUACCGUUGAAAGGGGUAUAACAACUCAUUGAUAACUGAGCUUUGAAGUUCAUGGUAAGUUAGAUUUCAACAAUGUUUUUAAUUAAGUUAUUUUUAAGAAUUUGUUGACGUGUUCUUUUUUAUUUUUUCAGGAAACAUGUAAUACUGAUGGAAUAAAUCCCUCAAAAAAUUACAGAAAGUUUGAAAAAAAGUACAAUAAAUUCCAUUGACAACAUGUACUCGUCGAUGGAAUUACAAAUAGUACUUCUAUCGGUGAUAUGACAUACUCACCGAUGGUAUUACCGACGGAAUGAUACCAACAACUUUUUUUUGUUUGACAUGCUUUGUCCAUCUAUAAUUCUAUCAGUGAUAAUAUCAUCGACGGAAUGUCUCAAAAAAUAAAAAUCACCAACGAUAAAUUUUUUUUGAUUAACAGUAACCAUCUGCGAUUUCAUCAUUAAAAGUUUUUCCAACAAAAUCAGUGUCUAAAUACUGAUGGAAUAAUCCAUCAACAAAAUAUAAAAUUCUGGUAGUGUUUAAGAUAAGUGCUCUCAGUUAAAAAAAAACAUUAAUUUAUUUAUAAUACUCCAUCAUUAGAUUAAGAGUCAUCUAAUUGAACUUGAUAUUUUAUUCAAAAGAGAUUAUAUAUAUGAAAAAGAAGUCACUCUUAUUAUCAUUCUACAAAAUCUAUUUAUAUAUGUGUUUGUGUAUGUGUAUGUUAUAUUUAGAUAUUUAUUAAUAUUUCUUUUUACCAAAUGUAAUAGUUUUUCAAAGAUGAUAGUUAUAGAUAUGAGGUCUUUUUAUUUAAAGAUGAUAGUUGUAGUAACGUUUGUAACAUACACAUACACGAGACAUCGAGGCAAAUUAAAAAGGUAAAAAUAAAAUUAAAAAGUAAUUUUUUAGUUUUGUGAUGACUAAAAACCCUAACUGGUCUUUAAAAUUUUAAAUAAGGGGUUGAUUAUACAAGAGAGAAGAUAAACAUCACCUUAAAACAUCAAAUUUUAAGUAAGUUGCAUUGUGAUUGUUUUUAAUAAUAAAAUACCUAUUGUACUCGUGCUAAAUUUAGCCUAAAAUGGUAUGUGUAUUCUUAUGAAAAAGCAUAAUUACUUUUUAAAAGAAAAUGAUGGGUGUUAGACUUACGAAUUAGACUUUGAUUUUGCUUGAUGAGUCAUGCCUAAGGUCUUUUGGAGUCGCGUUGACCUAACCUGAAUUCACUUGUAAUGAUGGUGUCAUAUACUCGCACAUGAUAAAUUUUAAAAAAAAUUUGCACACAUUGAUGACACAAUAAAAACAAAAAGUAUUUACAAAAAAAAUAAAAUUAAUAUGGUAUUUUUUUUUUAAGAAAACAAAUGUUAUCACCAUAAGAGCAACAUUGCCGAUAAAAUAACAAUUUAUUAUAUGAAAAAAAAUGUGAAUGAAAAGAGAUUUUCAGCUCAUAAAUCAAAUUCAUAUAUAUAGCUUUGAAAACAAAUGAUUUUUUAAAUUUCAAAAAGCAAAAUUAUUCGAGUGAUCGCCUUACCUUGGGUUUAACCUAAAUAAAAAAAAAUUUAAUUUUAUUAUAAGAAAAUAGCAAAAUUCGAUUACUGUUGUUGGAAGGAGAUAAAUGGUUGUCUUGGUUCGGGUUCAAUGAAGGAGAUCAGGUUGUUAGAGGCUAAGGGCUAUGGCUGAAGGAGGUUGUGUUUUAUGGUUCUUGGUGGAUCUGUGGUGGAGGAGAAGAAGGCGACUGUAGUGGGUUGGUUUGCUCAGAAAAAAAAAAUGACAGUGGCAAAGAGGAGGAGAUUUGAUUACUUUUGACAAUGCAUGGAAGAGAGAUGGAACCGUGGUUGUGGAGGUUUUGUUGGCUAUGGAGGUGUGUGGUGGUUGGCUUGAGUAAGGGAAAUCGUGGUAGUUUUGAUGGAAGGGAUAUGAAAGAAAGAAAAGGCUAGAGUCUUCACACACACACACACAUACACACACACACACACACACACAAUUAUUUUAUUUUUUAUCUCUCUCUCACUGUUUUUUUUUUUUUUUGGUGGAAAGGGGGGUUCUCAUUGUGUUUUAUGUUCUCUUGGUGUUUUUUAUUAUUUUUAUUGUGAUCUCUUUAUUUAUAGUGUUUAUUUUUCAGUUUGAUUUUUUUCUUAAAUUUUUAUCACAUGUGUGUGGUAUCGCGGCGAAUCGUCCACCCUCCAAGAAAAUAUAAAGGGUUACAACAACUUUUUAUCUUCUGAUUUUUUUCUUCAUCUCUAAUUUUAAAUUCUUCUGUCUUUUACGUUAGAAAUUCACUUUUUCUUUAAAUUUAUUUUUUUAAAAUUUUAAAUCCUGAUUAUUUGAAAAAUGGGUCUAAAUUUUAUUUUUGGCCCCUUUGUUUUUCUUUUCUAAAAUUUUUAUUUUCAAAAUAUAUUAUAAAAAAGGUAAAGAUUGAGUUAUGAAAAUACAUCUAUCAAAUAUCUAUAAGAUUCUAUUCUUCAAUCAUUUUUUUUAUAUAAUUAAUAUUUUAACAAUUAACAGUUAACCCCAACUUUUUUAACUUCAAAGCAAACACAACUUUAAUCAAAAGACAAACAAUGAUGGCUUUAAAUUACCUUUUUUCCAUGAGUGCUUGUAUAAAUAUUUUACUAUAAAAAAAACCCGGUUUUCCCCACUGUUCUAUUCACCUUUCAAAUCAUUAGAGUUACUCGUUCACCUAGUGUGAGAAAAAAAAAAUAAAAAAAAAAAGAAAAAGAAAAAAAAAGGCAGAGAAAAUGACUCAUGCCAUCGAAAUGUUCUUUGAUCUCUUUGAAUAUUUACUUCAAGAGAUGUAUAUGGAUUCACCUCUAGGUAUCACUUGGCUAUAAAUUAAUGAAUUAAAAAAAAAAUUCAUAUGAAAAAACUGAAUCCCUUGUAGUAGUUUCAUAUGAAAAUUCAAGAGAUGUAUAUUGAAGUAAAUAUUCAUUAUGUAAUAAUUAAAAUCCAUUUAUCCGAUUUUUUCAGAACAAGUCAUUCAUAUGAAAAAAACUGAAUCCCUUGUAGUAGUUUCAUAUAUUUUUUAUAAGGGAAAAUAAUAAUUUUAUUAAUGUUAAAUAAAGUAGAGAUAAAUUACUUCUUUCACAUUAUAUCUAGAGAAAUUAUAAAUUGUUUGAAAAAAAUAAUCAACAAUAUCAAAUGGUUUUUUAGACAACUUAUCACUUCAAUUAUUUAGAAAAUCAAAAACCUCCAUUAAAAGCAUCUUCAAUUAAAAAAAUCAUUUUGAAGAGCUAAAUUGUCCGUGUAGCAUUUUAAAUAGUUUAAAUAUGAUUUUUAUUCUUGUAUACAAUUUAAUGGUAUAAACUAUUUAGAAAAGUUUAAUUGUUAAUAUGGUAUUUUAACCCAAAAUUUUGAAAACUCAAAGCUAAAAAAUAAUAAACUUGUGCAUUUAAAACCCAAAAUUUAAGUACAAUAAGAGUAAAAAAACUGAAAACCGAUUAAACCAAGAAAACCGGAAAAAAAAUAACUGAAAAAACCAAACCGUGAAAAACAACAGAUUAAACCAAUUAAAAUUUUGAAAAACCGACCGGUUCAGUUUCGGUAAACCUGAAAUCGAAAAAACCAAACCGAACCCAAACCGAAAAAAACCGAGCCAAAACCAAAAAAACCAAGCCAAAUCAAGCAAAACCGAAAAACCGAGCCAAACCAAUUUGAACCGGUUUUUAUCCAAAAAACCGAACCGAACCGAAAUUCAUCGGUUUGAACUGGUUUCAGUUUUUUUAAUUUUUUUUUAUUUGGUUAUUUUUUUUUAUAAAAACCGAAUCGAACCGAAAAUAAUCAUCUCUAAGAUCAACUAUUUUUUAGCUUUUCUAAAAAAACAAAACUUGUAGAAAUAGCUUUUCGGAAAGGAAAAAGCUAUUUUACAUUCUCUUUUAGCACUUUCAUUGGACUGAGUAAAAUAAAAAAGAAAAGCUAAUUUGGCAAUUAUUUAGUUUUAGCAUUUCAUUUACCUUCAAUUCCUAGAUAUCAAUCUUAUUCUUCCAAUAAAAAAAUAACUAUUUAAAGUAGAAAAAUCACAACAAACGAGGAGAUAAAUUAGGUGCUUUAUAUAUUUUUUUCUGUAUAAUUUAAAUCAUAGAUACAAGAGCCUUAUAGAUAAGUACAAAUUCUAGAUUUAUAGAUACAAGUGCUUUAUAUACAUUAAAAAAAAAAAAAGGUUUUAAGGAUAUUUUUCAAAGCGAAUGUUUCCUUUCUCUAGCUAGCUAGCCAUAAUGUUUAUUAAUAGAAUUCUUUUUUCUCUAAAAUUUCAUAAGUGAAAUGGUAUGGACAGGGAGAGGCAUUUAUGAUUUAGCAAUAGGGUGAUUAUUUUUUAUUCGGUUUGGUUUUUAUCAAAAAAAUAAUUAAACCGAAUUUUUUUUUAAAAAAAUCGAAACUGGUUCAAACCGACCGAUUUAGGUUCGUUCGGUUUGGUUUUUUUGGACAAAAACCAGUUCAAAUCAGUUUGGCUCGGUUUUUUCAGUUUGGCUUGGCUUUGAUUUUUUUAAAAUUUUAAUUGGUUUAAUCGAUUUUUUUUUUAUAAUUUGAUUUUUUCAAUUAUUUUUUUUCUGGUUUUCUCUAUUUAAUUGAUUUUUUGAUUUUUUAGCUUAGCAGCAUCAUUUCAAGAGAGGGCACGUGGCAUGCAAUUUGAGAAGGGAUGCCUCGUAUAAUCAAGGCAGUGUAAUUAAGGAGACGUGUGAUAUUAAUUGGGAGUGGUUAUUAAUACUUCAUUUAAAAUACUAACUUAAUUACAAAAUUUGAGGGCAUGGCCCCUUCCCAAGUAUCAUAUGUUUUAUAUUUAGCUAAAGGGUCUUGCUAACAAAUUAAUGUACCUUUCAAAUAUAAUUAAUCUCUUUAAUUAUUGUACUUCACGUUUAACUAAUUACAAGUGCUAUUAAUCUCUUUAAAAAUAUAAUUGUAUUUUUAAUAUUUAAUAUAAACUUAUUAAUAACGUACCCUUUUCCAUAUAAAAAUAUCCUUCUUCGCAUAAAUCACUUUUUUUAAAAGUUAUUCUCACAAAUCAUUGUACUUUCCUUAUUUCUAACAUUUUUAUUAUUACUUUGUUCAUUUAAUUAUUCUUUAUAUUUCUUUGCAAAAAGUAAAGAAUAAAAGAAUACUGAUUUUCAUGUUGAUAAAAAGUUUCCAAAAAAUCUAUAGAUCAAGGAGAUGAAUUAAAUUGAAACCUACAAAAAAUGAAUGCUACAUGCUAUCAUUAAAGUAAAAAUAAAUAAAUAAAUAAAUAAAUAAAAAAUAAUUAUCCUAAGCUCACCUCCAUGACAAUGGAUAAUAGUUAGCUCCAUUAACUACUUCUUAACACUUAACAAGUACCCCUUAGACACCCGUUAGAUUUAUCCUUAGGGGGGGGAAAGACCUUGAAGAAACUGAUAUAUAUAUAUAUAUAUAUAAUGAAAUUUAAAUUCAAUAUUCUAGAAAUUAAACAAUAUUUCAUGUGAAGUAAUUUAAAACUUUGUGAACAAGAGAAAUUAACCUCUCUAUUAGAAACAUUAAAGGUAGAUGGUCUAAUUAUCUAGUAGGUGGUCAGUGGUAAGAGUUUGGAAUCAAGAUGUUUGUUUUUUCUAUAGUCUCAGGUUCGAGCCCUGUGGUUGCUAAUAUGAUGGCCACUGAAGGUUUACAUGGUCGUUAACUUCAGGGCCCGUAAAAUUAGUCGAGAUACACGCAAGCUGACCGAACACCCACGUUCAUAAUAAUAAAAAAAAAAUAGCUAACAUUACCAAGAGAUAAGACUGGAAACAAAAGGAGUUGAUCAAUUAAAUUAAUAAAUUGCACGCCCCUUAUACCCUUUUAGAAAACAUAAACCCUAUUGCAGUGCGUGCAAAUUAAGCAUGGUGUUUAGGGUUUUUGAGUUUCAAAGAGAGUUAUGAGGGCUGACACGCCAAUCUUUGUCCUCGUUUUGCUUUUCAUUCCCCGCCCAUAAUCCCUCUCUUCCCUUUCAUCAUUAGCAUAAAUGCAUGCUUCUGUGUUUUUAUGCCUUCAAGGCACUAAAUCAAUUAAGUUUCCUAACUUUUAUAUUAUUUUUCCUUGCCAUUAGUUAGCAAGAAUAUAUUAAAUUAGAUCCUCAUGUGUGAUUAACCUUAUUUUAUUUAUUAAAAAACGAAGUAUAUAUUAUCUGUAUUGCAAGAUAUGUUUUAGACGCUGAUUCUUUUCGAGAUGCUAAUAGAAUACCAGAGAAUUAUUUAUGGAUUUAUUUAUUUAUCUGAGCACAGAGUAUUUUGCUUCAAUAUUUCCUCUUGGACUCUGUUCCGUGAAAUAUAAAUAUCCUAUAGUAUAUCAAGAUACUAUAUUUAUAGUCGCUUUCAAAUGGUUGGAAAAUUGAAAAAUAUUAAAUAGCAAUAAAUACUGUGAAAUUAUGAAACAUCAGCAUGUAUAUAUAUAUAUAUAUAUAUAUAUAUAUAUAUAUAUAUAUCAUGUUUUCCUUCACAAUACUAUAGUAAUUCUUCUAAAGGGUAGUAGAAACUUUUGUUUUUAGGGAAAAAAACAAAAAGGAACAAAAACCAAGGUCGAAAGAGCAAGCUAACUACAAUAUAAUUUUGAUAUUGUGACCACCUUGAAAUUAGCAUCACCUAGUUCCGUUAAUGGCUAUAUUGGUGGCUCACGUUAUGUAGGUUGGAUUAGAUUUUUUUUUAAUGUUAAAAAAAAUACACAAAUAAUGGUAAAUAUUUUAGAUAAGAAAAAAAAUUUACGACUCAAGUUAUAGACUCGGCUAAAUUUAUAAAAAUUUAACUAAUUUAAUAACAUAAUUAAAAAAAUAACGACAUUAGAUAAAUCAUAAAAAAUAGCUAUAUAUAUAUAUAUAUAUAUAUAUAUAUAUAAAUGAACUUAUGGAGAUUUCAUAGAAAGAUAUUCCCCAAUAUUUUUAAAAGAUUUCUAUGAUCUUAUUCGAUAACAAAACAAAAAUAACCCAAUAAAAAAAAUGAAUUCUAAGCGAAUUAAAUGUUGAAAGAAGAAAUUGAAAAAUAUAUCAUUUUUUUAAAAAAAUGACCUUCACUCCACCCAAGUCAGCCUGUAAAAUCCACGACCUAAUCGUGAUAUUUUGAUGACCUCGUAAAAAGUAAUAUGAGAAAACUAUGAAGCUAAUUCUCAAACCAACCCAACAUUAAAGGGAGAAUUUGAAGAAAAAAAAUUAAUUUUAAAAAAGAGAGCAACAAAAACCCUUGUCAACUUAUCUAAAGUUUAAAUCUUAACAUCCAUAUUUUCUUUACAUACCUAAUGUUGAAAAAUAAAAUUAAAAAAAAAUACAAUUUUUGAAAAAGACCAAAAUCAACUUGACAUAAUCUUUCAAAUCAAUGACCUAGGUAAUGAGUCUAGGAUCACCUUAUAGAAGAGAAACCCGAAAAUAUCAUGAAAUUAAAUUCUCAAUCAUCAAACACUGAGGGAUGAAAUUUAUCAUAACCUAAUUUUAGGCCCCUAAAAAACAUUUAUGUAAAAAUAUUUUUCUUUUUUUGAAAUAACAUACAAUCCAAAACAUCAUAAAUCCAAAACCUAAAAAUAUUUUCAGGACACAAAUAGAUGGAUUUUUGAGCAGUAACAAGUCAGAACUCUAGAAGGAUAGUUAUUAAAGCCAUGCCGACUUGCCUUAAAUUUAAAAAACAUCAAAAAAUCAAUCUGUUUAUUUUGAAUAUCAAUUAUUACAAAAUUAUAUAUAAGAUGUAUUUUCAAUAUUAAAAGAAACAAAUUCAAAAAAACAAUUUUGGCUUUAAAAUAGCUAGACUUGACCUAUAAAACCAUGAUCCACCUUACUAUAGUAAAUCUACUUUAACUAAUAGACAUACCAAUGGAUAGUAAAACACAACGAAGCCUUAGAAAUAAGUAGACAAAUAAGCAAUACAGCUUACCUUAGAUAGAGUGUACUAGGGGUGAUAUUGUUCUCCUUAUACAUAGCCGAUUCUCUUAUCCAAACUCUGAAGACUAAUUAGGAUUUUUAAUAACCAAAAUAUUAGGUGACGACUCUAAUCAUUUUAAACUAUAAAAGGACAAGAAUUAUUUGUUCUUUACACACACCCAAAUCCUGAUCCAAAAAGAUUAUCACAGCAACGCCACACACAUGCAACAAAUUUGAAAACAAAUUCAAUAAAAAAAGGAUUAGAAAAAAAAUUAGGAUCAGAUUUGAUAUAAAAAUAAAAUGAAAUGAAACAAAAUCCCUAGGGAUGAAAUUUUAAAAAAUAAAUAAAUUAAAAAAUAAUUAAAAAAAAAUAGAACAAAAUUUGAUAUAAAAAUUAAAUGAAACUAAAUAUUGAAGGACGAAAUUGAAAAACAAAAUCAAUAAAAAAAAUAACAAUCAAAAGAAUGAGAACCAAAUUUGACACAAUAACAAAAUAACAAAACAUUAUAAUUUUUUGUAGGCUAGCGCAUAUCUAGCGCGUAUCUCGAGAAGAUGACAUAGAAAAGAGAGAGAAGAAGAAAAAAAAGCCGCCGAAGGAACUCGCUAGAGACCUAUCGAUUCUCCUCCGUUGACACGUGCUAGAUCGCCAGGAAAAGGGUGGCGAGACACUUCCAAUGUUAUCUAGGAAGAUGGUGUUUGGAUGUUAGGUAGGCACCCACAUGCUAUCUAAACACAGUGGGCACUUCCCACUCGAUGACAUGUGUUUUGCACGCAUCAACCAAGUUGCUCUACUCAUCUUUUUCAGUCCUUUGAUUUUUUUUUUUCAAAUUGAAUCCCUCAAACCUUAAGUAUUUUAGAUCGAUAUAAUUGUAUUUUAUUUUAAAAACCGAGCAUCAAACAUGUGUCAUAAUUUAUCCUCGAUAAUGUGGGAUCCCUGUAUCUAAGGCAACAAAAAAAAUAUCAAGUUCAACCUAAAAGAAUUUCAAUGUUAAAGGGUAAAAUUAAAAAAAUAAUUGAGGGAUAAAAAAAGAAAAAAAGAUUGAAUCUCUCCCUUUACUGUUCAAUUUAGUCCAUGAUGCAUGCAAUGAAAAAAAGGGCUCAAUACUUGUCAACUACUCAAAUUUGAUCCCCGUUACUUCAAUUGUUCUAAUUCAAUUCAAUUUCAUUAAAUUUUGUUAAAUUAAGCAUAAAUAAAGAGUUGGUUUUGUUUUUCACAUUGCAGGCAUUCAAUACCAAGCUAGCCGAAAUAAAAUCACAGUUCAAUUUCAAUUUCAAAAUAAUCUAAUGUAAAAGGAUAUGAUGAUCAAAAUUAAAAAAAAAAACAAAAAAAACAUUAUUCAAACGGACAAUGUUUUGGCUUAUAAUUUACAAUAGGAUGAUACUAUUAAUUUUAAUAGAAUAUUGUUUUGUCUCAUAAUUUACAAUAGGCACCCAUAAGUCAGCAAAUGCUGACUAUGAUAUUGAAAAAAAAAAUUCCGGCUUUUCUAAUUAUACAAGGAGGACGUAUUUGAACACUUUAUCUUACAUUUCUUUUCUAAGAAAAGAUCAUUAAAGUUAGGUAUAUACUUGGACCAAUUUUCGAACACUAAAACAAAUUAAUUCCGUCUUUCAAAUCCGAUCAUCUAGAAGAUUUAUAAAUUUAUUCCUUAUAUUUUGAUUUAAUAUCUAAAUUUGAUGUAAAAAAAAUAUUUAUAACCCCACAAAAAAGCUUAAAAGAUUUCACAAAUCAUGUCGGGUUAUCUUUUCACAAAUUAGAUAGUAUUUUAUUAAGAAGACGGUGGCAACAGAUAACACAUAUUUUUUUUUAAUUAUAUAAAUUCACGCCAAAACUAUUAUAAAAACAUUUUUUUUUAAUAUUUAUCUUUGUUUUUUUAAUUUUUUUUGAUGUCUUUUUCUUUUGUGACUCGGCUUAAAAGGUUUGCGAAUUAAUUUAAGCCCUUUUCCAAUCAUUAUACAUCUCAAGCAAGCAUAGGAGAGCUCUUUAGACUAUUUUGAAUUAAUGGCAUGCCUAUGAUGGAAUAAAAAUGGUGAAAAAACCCGAAAAAAGCUUCAGAGAUCCCUCUCAAGUAGUCGAAAACAUUGACGAAUUUAGGGCUCCUACCUAUUGAUGACAAAUUUGAAAAUUGGUCUGCACUAUUUAAUAUUAGACCAUAGGCAUCAAAAUCUUGGCCAAACCUUUCCUUACAACUUCCCAAGCUAACUCACCUUUCUUUUACUGUAGCUGAUUUUACUUUUUGUUUUUUAAAUUAUCAUAGGUGUCCGAGACUGCUUGUACGUAUCUCGAUUAAUUCCAUAAAUUUUAAAAUUAAUAAUCAUGUAAGUUUUCAAUGACCUUGAAAUUUAUGGAACUCGAACUAAUAAUUUCUAAAGAGCAAAUCCAAAACUUAAUAAGUUAAACUACAUUUUUCAUGAGCUCAAAUAAGAUUAACCGAGUGAGUUUACCGGGUCCUCCACUCAUGCAAAUUGCUCCUUUUUUUUCCUUCUUUUCCAUUUAUCUUUUAAAUGUUUGUUGACUUUUUUGAGAAAUUAAUUAUUUUUGUGUUUUAAAAAUGUUUUUUUUUAAAUUAAUCUUUUAUUUUUAAUUAUUAUUUUUGAUGAUUUUAUAUUAUUUUUUGUUAUGAAAAAUAAAUAUUAUUAAAUAAAAAAAUAUUAUUUUAAUAUAUUUUAAAUAAUAAUAAUAAUAAUAAUAAUAAUAAUAAUAAUAAACGUGCUCUCAGUCUUCAUUUGGGGCUCAGAUUAAACCUCAAGCUAUUACACAAAUCUCUAGAAUAAUUUUGUAUCUGUUGAAUUAAAAGUUAGAAAAUAUAUUUUAUGCUUUCCAACUUGAAAAAAAUAUCUUACAAAUCCACUAUUGUCAUGAAAACCUGGAUUCCACCACCACCACCAACAAACCUUUGUUUUUAUCUUUUAUCAACAUUUAUUUUUUUAACACAAACAAAACUCCAGAAAAACUAUUAAUUAAAACUAGUUUUUUCGACACAUAGUUAAUUUUCAAGUAUUUCAUUCAAUUAUUAUAUUUUAUACUAUUUUUAUACUACUUAAUGGAUUGUUUGAAUUAUUUUUAUAUUAAUAAAUUUUUAAGUAUUAUUUAUUGAAAAUUAAAAUAUUGUAUUUUUCAAAAAUUACUAAUUCUUAUAAUUUAUAAUUAAAUGAAGUUUUUUUAUUUACAAUUUCAAUAAAACAAGAAAUCUCUAUAAAAAUAAAUAGAAAUAAAAUUUAUUAAUUUGAUGCAAUUUUAGUAUUUUCGGUUUUUAAUAUUAUUCAUUUUUAUUUUCUUAUUUUAAGUAUUUUUAUUGUUUUGAUGGUAAAAGUUAAGUAUCAUCUAAGUUAGGAGUGAUUUUAUUAGAAGCUUAUUUAUGGUUAUAUAUGGUAUAUAAAUAGGACAAAAUGGGGGAAAAAAAAGGACUGGUCUAUUUUGUUGAAAUUAAUAUUGUUUUAAGAAUCUUAUUCAUGUUGGUCUCUGAUCUUAAUUAGAGGUGGGGUUGGAUUUAUAUAUUGGAGUAAAUUACAUUGUUAGCAGUUAUUGAGAGUAUAAUAGUAAAUGAAAAUAUUUUAAGGAGUUUGUGAUUUUAUACACUGUUAUAAAAUUCAGACUACCAUGAGUUCAACUCGGACCUAAUUAACUUAAGGUCUAAACCGACUUGGAUUGAAAAAAAAAUAAUAAUAAAAAAAAUUAGUUAACCCUGUCAAAAAUCAUGGUUGACCCGUGACUUAAUCAUUCCAAACUUGACCCGGUCAAAAUUCUACCCGCAACCUAUUGAUUUUUUAAAAAAAGUUUUUUAGUUAAAAUAAUCUAACAUUUUUUAUUUAAAAAAAUUUAGAAAUUAACCUGGUUUUAAUAUAUGACCCAAACCUUGUCCUUAAUCAUUAACCUUGAUUCACAACUAUAAUUUUAUAUAUAGCUAUGGAUUUUUAUUAUCAUAACCAAAUAUAUAAAAUUGAUUUAUUUUCCAUGAUAUCUUUCAUAAACUACUUAUUUUAUGAAAAACAAAGCUUUAUGUUAUUAGAAAGAUUGUCAAUACACCACCAUUCCCUUUCCCAACAUGAGGAUCAACAACUCCAUAGAGCAUAUUGAAGAAAAAACCAAACAAUCUUAAGAUGUCAGAUGUAAGGACUUUGAUAUAAGAUUCUGUAAAUCUUUAGUGUUCUAAUUGACAUAAUUGAUUUUUUAGGGGAUGAUUUAAAUUUUUGUUUUUUUAUUAACAUGGGUGUCCAGGUUAACUUGCGCGUACCUUGACUAAUCCAACGGGUCCUGAAAUUAACGAACAUGUAAGCCUCUAAUGACUAUCAUAUUGGCAACCACAAAGGGAACAAACCCUUUAAUAUCAAGUUCUUGCCAUUGAACCACCUACUAUACGAUUGAUUUAAAUUUUUUUAAUAAAUGAAGAACUAAUUCGAGUUUAUCCUUAUUUUAAACCAAUUGAUCACUUCCUUACAAAUGGUCCAAAUUAAUGUGAAUGGUGAAUUCCUUCCGGUGAAGUUUAAAACAAGUGGAUACAUGUCUUCUUAUAAAUAAUACCCUCAAACGCUUCCCUAAUUGAGUAUGAAUUUAUUUUCUUUAACAAAUUCUGUGAUGCUUGAAAAGUCGCUAAUCCAAAAGUUUUAAGUUAAUGGACAGGUAUUAUAUUAUUAUUUUAAUUGAGUGUAAAUUUAUAUUCUGAAGUUUUUAUGGCGUUUUAAAUUUCAUAAUUGAUCUAAAACUUUUAGCUAAUUGAUGACCAAUGAAUUAUCCGAAUUGAAUCAAACAUUAAAUUAAAAUGAAUAAAUAAAAGCUAAAUCUCAGUGUGCUAUUUCACUGGAAAAGUGCAAGCAAUUUUUUUUUGUUUGGUUUUUUAUCUUAUUUUAUUUCAGUCAUCAAUAGAUUUUUUUUUAAUUUCAUCAUUUUAAAUUGAAUUAAAUAUUUUUUUAUUCAUAAUUUAUUUUAACUAGCUUACUAUAGAGUUAUUGAGGUGUCAAAAAAGGUUUUCAGCAUUAGAUUGGGUUUUGUUGAUUAAAAAAAUUAAAAUUUUGAAAAUCAAAUUUAACAAUAAAAGAAAUAUACAACUUUUUUUAAAAUAAUAUUGUGCUGUCAAUGCCUUUCCUUAAAAAAAUGCCUUGAGAUUUUUUAUAAUUGUUUUUGUUUGUUUAAUUUAAAAAUUAUAUAUUUUAAUAUAAAACUUCAUUUUCUUUAUAUAUCAUACAUCGAGUUUGCAAGAGGAGAGAAAAAGUCACCGAAAAAUAAUGAAGAAAAGAUAAAAUAUUUGUUGGCAAGAUUUUGUUAAUAAAAAAAAUCAAUUUUAGUGUUAAAGCAUUUAACUUGACGAGGGGAGUGCUAUUAAGGUGUUUUUAAUAUUUCUUGUUGUCGAGAAAGGUUGAUUUGAAAAAAAAUUUGUUUUUAGUUUAAUUUUUUAUUUUUUAAUAGAUUUUGAUAUUUUUAUUUAUUUGAGUAAUUCAUGUAUUGAGGUUAUAAAAGUGUGUUUAGAUAAUAGACAAUGAAUUAUCUGCUUUUCUUUAAAAAAAAAUAUUUAAACAGCUGACAUGUUUUUUUUUUUAAAAGGGCGCAACCAAGUGGGCAUGAUUUUAUUUUUAAAGGGCAAGGUGUGCAGAGCUACUUAGGACCGUGCACCUAGCUUUGUUUUUAUUUUUUAUUUUUCCUUAUAUUCAAUUUAAUUUAUUUAAAAUCCAUUAAGUUAAAAUAUAUCUUGUAUAUUAUUUUAUAAAUUUUUAAAUCAAUUAAGAAUAAAUUUUAGAUAUUGUUGUAUUAAAUUCUAUUCAGUUUUAACUUUGUUUUCAAAUAAAGUUUUAGCAAUCUUUUAAUAAUAUUAAAAAGAGUUAUUUUUUUACAAUUUUUUUAAAAUCAUUUGAUAGUUUUCCUAUAGCACUUUUUUUAAAUCAUAUUGUUAAAUAGAAUUUUUUUAAAAUAAAAUUAUUAAACUCAAUUAGGUUCAUGAGUCAAGUCAUAAAUUUGAUGAAUUAACUUAAAUCGAUUCAAGAUGUCUUUAUUUCAAAAAAAAUUAAAAAAAUUUAUCUUAUUUUUUUAAGUCAAACCAGAUUUUUACGGAUUGUUCAAUAACUUUAGAUUAACCUCCACAUAAUUUGAUUAAAAAUAUAGUUAGAUAAAGAAUAGGGUUAAAUUUUUUUAAAAUUUAGCUACUCAGUCUGGUAUAACAAUAUUAACAAAGAUUUUCCCGACAAUAACACACAAGUGUUGUAUAAUGUUUUAUGGCUUUUAAUAAAAUCACAUCAAAAUUAAUAGUAUAGUUUUUUAAUUCAAACUUGCUUUUAGAAUAAUUAUAGAAUAUUGUUUAAGAAGCAAAUAUUCCUAUAAACAAAUAAUUCAAACUUGCAAUGUAAAAACAUUUAGCACCUUUUUUUAACAUUUUUAAUAUAAACAUUAGAUUUUAAAUUCAUAAUUAAUAUAUAUAUAUAUAUUUUAAAUAUACGUUAAUGAUACUUACAUGUUUUUUUUUUAAUAAUAAAAAAAAGACUUUAACUACUACCCGCAAAGUAGCCAAGGUCAGGUAGCUAGUUAAAUCUAUUUUAGCUUCGGCAUUGCCUAUUUUAAUAUACGAGAUACGUACUUGAGCUAUAUCACUCACUUACAUUGUGUUGGUGUUUAGAUACUGUCUUGGAAUAAAAAAUCUAUAACAAAAACAUGUUUAGUUAUAAAAAUAAAAAUAAUUUAUUUAUUUAUUUAUUUAUUUAUGUCUCUAGAUAUUUUUAACCAGUUUUCCACCAUAAGGAAAGCAUGGGAAAUGAAGAUUAGACGAGUUUUUAUUUUAUUUUUUCAUAAAAGCUACUUUAAAUAUAUCAUAAUUUCAUUUUUAAAAUUUUAAAAGGCAUAGGAUAAUGAUAACAAAAAAAAAAAUAUAAAGUAAAUUGAAAAAAAUAAGAAUGGUCAAUCCCUAACAAUCUAAAUGUAGAAAGAUAAAAUAAAAAAAAUCAAUUAACAAAAAGAAACCCAAAAAAAAAACAAAAUACUUGUAAACUCGAGUAUGAUGGAUAAAACUUGUGAGGUGAUCAUGCAAAAAAGAUAAUUUAAUAAAAGAAAGAAACAAGAAAAAAGCAAAGCUUAAUUUUUAAAGGAAUCUAAUUUUAAAGGAUGAAACCAAAAAAAUAUGAAAAAAAGGCAACCUAAAAAGAGUAUCUAAAUAAAAGGGCUAAACCUGAUGCCUAAGUCAUGAGAUCAUGAUAACCUGAUUGAAAGAAAAUCGAGAAAAAUCACAAAGCCCAUUUUUCAAAAUAAACAUUGUCAAAUGAUGAAAUUAAAAAAAAACAAUGUCAACUUUUGUUAAUUUUUCAAACUCGUGACUCGAGUCACUAAACCAAAAGAACCCACUUGAAAAAACCAUGAAGCCUAACUCCCGAUAAAUCAAAAUUCAAAGGAUGAAAUUGAAAAAAAAUCAAUUUUAUAAAAGGAUUCAAAACAAAAGUAGCAAUCAAGAGAAUAAAGAUCUAAUUUGAAAUAAAAAGUAAAUGAGAAAACAACCUAAAAUUUUGAAUUGAAUGAAAAAAUUGAAAAGAAAAAUCAAAUUGAAAAAAGAAUGCAAUUCAAAAAAUAAAAUCAAAAGAAUGAAGAUCAUAUUUGAAAAAAUAACAAAACACAAUUAUGAAUAUCUAAUGAUGAAAUUGAAAUUUGAUAAAAGAGAAUAAAAACAACUAGAAAUCAAACAAAUAAGGACAAAAUUUGACAUAUUAGUAAAUAAGAGGGAAAUUUUCAAUGGCUAGUGUGAAUUUCGAGGGAAGGAAGAGAAAUAAUGAAAAAAAGAGAGUUCGCUAACAACACAAUGUCACCCAAAACACCACACAUGUCGCCCUAUGUAGGAAAAGGUGUUACAACGCUUCCAAGACCGUAGCAGAAGCCGAGGUUCCUCCACGCUUCUAGAAAAGCACGGAGUGGCUCCACAUGCCAACCUCUUUUUAAUAAUAUUUUAUACUUAUCAAUGUACUAUAUUUUCCUAAGCCAACAUGAUUAUAACCAAAAAAUCAGAAUAAAAAUGCAAAAAACCCCUGAAAGCUAGUUUAAUAACUUUUGCCUACAAGGGUAAUUCAAUAACUUUAUUGUGAAAAAAAACUAAAGGUUAAAAAGCACUUGGAUGAAAGCUAAUAAUUUUUUUUUUGCUUUGAAGAGUAAUAAGUCAUUUACUAUGCUAAAAAAAUUAACAUACUAGUUUAACUCUGAUCAAUCUAGUAAUAUCCAAUGGAUCUAGCAAAAAAGACCAGAUUACCUCUAAUAACAAGCCUUUUGAUUUUUUUUUGUAAGGGUCAAAAUCAUUAUUAUAUUGUUUCAUUCCACAAUAUAAUAAGUCUAGGGCCACAAUAUUUUACCGAUACAUUUUUAUUCUCUCCAUAAAAUAAUAAUAAUUACUAUUACUAUUAAUAUUGCUAACAAAACUAAAAGAAUUGAGGGAUAAUUAAACACUUACUUUAACUAUUCAUAUGAACAGUACAAGUUGGUCCUUUUUUUUAAAUUUUAAAUUUUAACAAUUUAUUGAUUUUGUACUAACCUUUAUAAUUUGUUUUAUUUUGAAUUUUAUAAGGUUAUUGUAGUCUCAAACAAACGUCUUAGUAUUUGGUUGAUACUUGAUUUUGUGAGCGUUUAUUUUUGUUAUCAUAUAAUUAAGUAAAAAUAGCUUAAAGAAACAAAAUUACUAAACCUAGUGGAGUCCAUGAUUUGGAUCACGGGUUUGACAGGUUAUACCGCGAAACUCGAGUCAAUCUAAUAUGUUGUCUUGUCAAUAUUCAAAUAAAAAAAAGAUAUCAUUUUGAAUUUUUUUUUUAAAGUCAAACCAUAUUUUUAUUGCCCAUUUAAAUUGUAUUUAGACUCAUUGAAUUGAUCGGAUCAUGUUAGGACAACUCUCAUAUGGUUUAAUUUAAAACUCAAACCAGACAAAAAUCAAAUCGAGAGAUUUAAAGAUUAACUCGAUAGAAUUGAUUUAACAACGAUGUCCGAUCUGUAGCGCGGCAAGGAUAGCAAACUAGUUUUACCACUAAUUAGGAAGAGAAGGAAUAUUGUGUUCCUCAUUUCUACAGCAAUAUCUUAUUAGUGGUACAAACAUAGGUUUUUUUAUAUAAAGAAUGAAAUGAAAAGAACAAAACAUAUACACAGAGCAAUAACACAAUUACUACAACCCAUGAGCUCAAAAAAGAGAAUCCAAGAAGAAAAGGAGGAAAAAAGAAAAGAAAAAGGUAGAGGGUCUUUUACCAAAUGCUUAAAAGGGGACUCUCCAAGCGAGUACUUGGAGACACACCCACCUCCCUCUCCCAACCAAAAUGCUUUUUCUUUUCUACUACACACUUUUGUACUGCAAUUUAGGCCAUUGAAGAUCGAGCCAGAUACCAAUUUAACAAGAUAUAUCAAAUAAUUAUUUAUAUUAUAAUAAAAAUACUGCCCGAGGCCAUCAUCUCUCUCAUUCUCAAAUCCAAACAAAACUCAAAACAAAAGGGAAAAAAACAAAGAAAAUAAAAAAGCAGACCCUGUGCUUUGGGGACUGCAAGUGCAAGCUUGCUCUCGCAACUCUCAAAGCAAAGCUGUAUAUUGUAUAGUUCAAAAAGAAUUCCUCAAUUCUGUUUAUUACCACCCACUACUCCAUAACCCCAGAGCCACAUGCUUUGCCAUUCUCAUCAUCACCACAACCAUCACCAUCACCAUCACCAGCAGUUCAAGAACCAGUUUCGUCUUCAUCUUCUUCUUUUUCCUCUUUUAGCUAGCUCACACUUUGUUUGAUCUUGAACAACAUCAAUCUAUUCUUCUCAUUCAAAAGACUUAAUCUGCCAAAGUUUUGGGUUUUCAAAUAGUAACCAAAGAUGAUUAGUUUACUAGAUUUCUACCAUGUGAUGACUGCAAUGGUGCCACUUUACGUGGCCAUGAUUUUGGCCUAUGGCUCGGUGAAAUGGUGGAAGAUUUUCACUCCUGAUCAGUGCUCGGGCAUCAACCGUUUUGUGGCGCUUUUUGCUGUCCCUCUCCUCUCUUUCCACUUCAUAUCUACUAAUGAUCCUUACAAAAUGAACUUUCGCUUCAUAGCUGCUGAUACUCUACAAAAGAUCAUAGUUUUAGUAGUAUUAGCAUUUUGGACUAUGUUUAGUAAAAGGGGUUGCUUGGAAUGGACCAUUACAUUGUUUUCACUUUCAACACUGCCCAACACUCUUGUUAUGGGCAUUCCUUUGCUCAAAGGAAUGUAUGGUGAUUAUUCUGGUAGUUUAAUGGUGCAAGUUGUGGUCCUUCAAUGCAUCAUUUGGUACACUUUGAUGCUGUUUCUGUUUGAAUAUAGGGGUGCUAAACUGCUCAUCUCUGAGCAAUUUCCAGACACUGCUGGUUCCAUUGUGUCAAUCCAUGUAGACUCUGAUAUCAUGUCACUUGAUGGUAGACAGCCUCUAGAAACUGAAGCAGAGAUCAAAGAAGAUGGAAAGUUACAUGUCACUGUUAGGAAAUCCAAUGCUUCAAGAUCGGAUAUUUUCUCUAGAAGGUCUCAAGGUCUAUCAUCAACAACACCAAGGCCAUCAAACCUUACCAAUGCUGAGAUUUACUCCUUACAAUCAUCAAGAAAUCCAACUCCGAGAGGGUCUAGUUUCAAUCACACGGAUUUCUACUCAAUGAUGGCGGCUGGUAGAAACUCAAAUUUUGGUGCUUCAGAUGUUUAUGGACUAUCAGCAUCUCGGGGCCCAACACCGAGGCCAUCCAAUUUUGAAGAAGAGAAUGGUGGAAGUAACAAACCAAGGUUCCAUUACCACGCGCCAGGUGGUGCAACUCAUUAUCCAGCACCAAACCCUGGCAUGUUUUCGCCAACAACUGCAUCUAAAGGUGUUGCAGCAAAUGCCAAUAAUGCUGCUGCAAAGAAACCUAAUGGGCAAGCUCAACAGAAAGCUGAAGAUGGUAGGGACCUUCAUAUGUUUGUUUGGAGUUCAAGUGCUUCUCCUGUUUCAGAUGUUUUCGGUGGUCAUGAUUAUGGUGCCCAUGACCAGAAAGAUGUUAGGCUCGCUGUAUCUCCUGGAAAAGGUGCUUAAUUUUUCCAGUUUGCUUAAUUAGUUUGCAAAUAUUAUCAAUAAAUCCAGAUUUUAGAUUGUUCUCUUUGUUUUUCUACUUUUAUUCAUCUGCUUUACACUUACUAUUAUUUCGUUUCUUGAUUGCUGUUUUUGUCGGCUUUGGAGUUUCAGUUGAGGGGCAUACAGAGAAUCAGGAAGACUAUAAUUUAGAGAGAGAUGGUUUUAGCUUUGGAAAUAGAGGAAUGGACAGAGAAAUGAAUAACCCUGAAGGUGAGAAAGUUGGUGCUGCAGGCAAACCAAAACCAAUGCCCCCAACAAGUGUCAUGACAAGGCUUAUACUCAUCAUGGUCUGGAGGAAACUUAUCAGAAACCCCAACACUUACUCCAGCUUAAUUGGUCUCACCUGGUCCUUGGUUUCUUUCAGGUACGGUACACCACUAAAUCCAUUAAGAUCUGUGUAUCUGGACAGCACAGUAGUUAAUGUAUCUGGGUAUUUUUUUUGUUUUUAUUUUUGAUUAAUGGGAUAUUGAUUGUCUUUGGAUCUCUGGUUUCUUACAGGUGGGAUGUACAGAUGCCUGCGAUUAUAGCUAAGUCCAUUUCCAUUCUGUCAGAUGCAGGGCUCGGCAUGGCAAUGUUCAGUCUCGGUCAGUAUCAGACUCUUGUCGUCUCCUUUUUUUACUUUCGUUACAGCUUACAAUCCUUUAUUCUUACCAUUUUGUUCUCUAAAAAUCUUUUUUGAUUCUCUCUUUCUACUUUUUCAUUAUUAAUGUCCCAAGAAAGCAAGCAGACUAGCAAAGUAAAGUGUGCCAAACAGUCCGAGGGUGAUCAUGUUGUUGGGGUUUUCUUUUUUCUCUCUCACUCUAUUACAAAUCCCUCGCUUUUUGCCUAGUUUGUGCUGAUGAAUAGUAGUGGUAGUGAUGAUGAAAGUUGUAUCACAUCAAAAAAAUGGUGGACGAGCAUGCUCUUAUUGCCUGCUGCCUUUUGAUGUGUUGACAGGUCUGUUUAUGGCUUUGCAACCAAGGAUCAUAGCAUGUGGGAAUUCCGUCGCAGCUUUUGCUAUGGCUGUGAGAUUCCUUACAGGUCCAGCUGUCAUGGCAGCUGCUUCUAUUGCUGUUGGUCUAAGAGGCACGCUCUUACACAUUGCCAUCGUUCAGGUCACUUUAACACACUAUCUCCUGUGUUUUCUUUUCUGCUGUGCUGUUUCUCGUUCUCUUGCCUCCUCCUGACACAACCAAUCCUACUUAACUACAGAAGCUCCAAAAAACUUAAUUACUUCCUAAACAAUGUUUGCUAUCUCCAGAUAAGAUUUUUUAUUCGGUUGAAAUUAUCCCCAUGUUGGAAUUAGACUCUUAGUGCAGAAAACAUUGAAUCUGUUAUCUUGCCAGAUGAAUAAAACAACAAAUAUUGUUUACUAUUUUCAGAUAUUUUUCAUCUCCAAAACUUUGUAAAAAAUGGGUGUUUGUACUCGUCGGGUAUUGUAUCUAAUAUUUUGAGGAAAAAGAUUGAAGCAUUCUGGAGGUAGCUAAAAGUGAUCUGGAAAAAGGAAUGACAGCAAAAAGAACAAGAGUAAUUACAGCGAGCCCAAUAAUGAAUCAAACCUUAAGGAUUUGUUUGGGGUUACUGAUGAACAGCAAGUAUCUGUACCUUUACUAACAUGUCCCUUUGCCUUUUUGUGCUUCCCUUCCCAAACGAAAAACACAGGCAGCUCUACCACAAGGAAUUGUCCCCUUUGUCUUUGCCAAGGAGUACAACGUGCAUCCUGAUAUUCUCAGUACAGCGUGAGUAUAUUUUUCAAACAAAGCAUCAUAGCUUAUGCACCAUUAUUUAUAUUUUUUUCUCUUUUUCAUUCGCCAUCUUUUUCCAUUGUUUUCUCUUAUUCUCAUCACUUGCUUUUGGGUUUUGAAAUCGCAGUGUCAUAUUUGGGAUGCUAAUUGCAUUGCCCAUAACUCUUGUGUACUACAUCUUAAUGGGGCUAUGAAGAGGAAAGAAAAAUACCUCGGAUAUUGGAAUCCAUGCAGACCCCAUCUGGGCUACUAGCUAGUGCAUGGAAAAACUGAAAGUCAAAAUUUUAAAGGACAGAGAAAAGCAGCCAUGGUGAAUCUUUCUGGCGAAAUGUCUUCUUUUGCCUCGAGAAGUUGUAAAAUUAAUGUUUGUAGUAAGGUUAUCAAUGAAAAAAAAUGAUGCCCUAGUUAAUUAGCUUUUCUUUAACCAUGUUCCCAGACAUUUAUGCUAGAAGUGCAACACAAAUUACAAAUGAAAAGAAGGGAAGGGAUCAUUCUUAGUGUUUUUUUUUUAAUUAACAUGGAUAUUCGGGCUAACUUGCAUGUAUAUUGAUUAAUUAUAUAAGUUCUGAAAUUAACGAUUAUGUAAGCUUUUAGUAACCCUAAGAGGACUCGGACUUGAACUUCAUAGCUAAUUUUAUAUAUUUUUAAUGAUGAGGUUUUUUUUUCAAUUUUUUAAAAUUAAUUAUGACAUGAAAAACUUCAAAACUCGAGGCCUUUACAAAAAAAAAAAAAAAGAGAGAAUCCAAGAAGAAAAGAAAUAAGAAACAGAGACAAAAUAAAUUCUAGUAAUUUACGGGUAAAGUUGGAAAAAAACGUUUAUUUCCAUCUGGGUGUUUGAACAUCUGAUCUAGAGAGUGUUUGAGAGUAUAAUAGAGGAUUAAAGUGUUUUUUAUUUGGAAAUAUAUUAAAAUAAUAAUUUUUUAUUUUUAAAAAAUUAUUUUUAAAAUCAGCAUAUCAAAACGUUAUAAAAAUAUAAAAAAAUUAAAAAAAAUUAAAAUUCUUAAGAAACAUGGUUUUAAGAAACCGUGCUUCCAAUACUUCCUUGAUUAAAUGGAUGGGUUACUAGAUGAGGUGAUUAAGAGUGGAUGGGUUACUAGAUGAGGUGAUUAAGAGGGAUUAGAGAAACAUUAGUUAUUGACCUCAAAUUAAGAUGAUAAUUUGGGGAUACUUUUUAGACCAUGCUUUUGGAUUGCAUGUAUAAGAGAUAGUGCAAUUAGGGCCCCUCCAUUACAAGAUGGGGUUUCGAAAUUGAUUUAGACCUCCUUGGAAUAAUGGGAGACAACAGUCACAUCCAGAGUUUCUCCUCCUCCUCCUUCUUCAACCUCCUAAUUCUUUAGUUACACACAUGACCUUUUUCUUGACACCUUUCCCUUUCAUCCUUGCUCUAUGCUUAGUGCGACGAAUAAAUUCAUUUUGAACAAGCAUGUUGUGUUCUUAAUUAUACAAUAGAAUAAAAAGGCUACCGUAAGAACACCAGUCAUUCCAAAUUCAUCUUAUUUUCGUCCCUCAAAUCAUUACAUUCUUCCACAACUAGAGCAUGAAAUGCCCAAACCCAAGAGCUCCCCCAUGAAAAUACCUUCAAAAGGGAUCACGUUCGAGACAAGUUUUUCCUCCCACAUGAGGUGUAAAGUU
RNAcentral lists this long non-coding RNA (56551 nucleotides) under Populus trichocarpa (black cottonwood). RNAcentral's name for it is "long non-coding RNA (PTRI_LNC002878)". The stretch from base 23723 to 23862 matches the Rfam family "MIR480 microRNA precursor family". Lineage: Eukaryota; Viridiplantae; Streptophyta; Magnoliopsida; Malpighiales; Salicaceae. The record is from RNAcentral.